This 57948-nucleotide long non-coding RNA is filed under the name Gossypium raimondii (Peruvian cotton). RNAcentral's name for it is "long non-coding RNA (GRAI_LNC005960)". Lineage: Eukaryota; Viridiplantae; Streptophyta; Magnoliopsida; Malvales; Malvaceae. The record is from RNAcentral.
ACAAUUUCAUCAGCAUACCUGCAUCUCUUACUCGACUCUCCAAGCUUGAAGAGCUUAUAUUGUCAAAUUGUAACAUCUGCACUCUUGGUGAAGCAGAUAUUCAUGGUCUAUCCUCUUUGAAAUGGCUUUUUCUUAACGGUAACAAUUUCAUCACCGUUCCUUUGCCUCUGACUCAACUUUCCAAGCUUAAAUUGCUUGCAUUAUCAAAUUGCAUGAAGCUUAACUCGUUGCCUCAGCUACCAACAAGUAUAGAAGAUGUGUGGCUAGAUGGUUGUUCUUCACUUGAAGUAGUUGCAAGUCCAUCAAAAGUAUGCAAUUUAGUGGAUUCGGCUGCUAUUUUACCCUUUAACUGCUUCAAAUUGGCUGAGAAUAGCAAUGCAUUAACACUGCUGAGAAAACAUCUUAAGGUCGAUUAAUCUCUCUUUUUCUCACUUACAAAAUCUCAUACUUGAGAAUUUAUGGUUUUAGUUACCUAACGACUUGUGUUUUAUUUUGCAGGCAUUUGCAAAUUCAAGAAAAAUGUUUGAUAUUAUCAUGCCAGGAAGUGAAAUCCCAGAAUGGUUUAGCCAACAAAAAGGUGACUUCUUUAUUAAGAUUCCCUUACCGAUUAACCUUCAAGAGGAUAGUGAAUGGAUUGGAGUUGCUUGUUGCUGCAUUUUUGUCAAUAAUGAUGCUUCAAGGGAUGUGGCCUUUAUCGACUGUGGAGCGUUAAUGUAUGGUAGAAACCGUCGGCAGAUUGAGAGGAGAGGCUAUUUGGUGGGUAAACGAUACAACAAGCCCAUAAUGAAAGAUCACAUUUUUCUUCGUUAUUGGUCGCGUGAUAAAUUAUAUCCAGUUUCCUUGAAGGAUAAAUAUGGUGGCUGUGAAACCAAUAAUUUACGGACAACAGAUUGCUUAGAUCAUAAACAUGAUGGGCUUCAUGUGUUUUUCAAUGGUCAUAGCCUUAAAGUGAAGAAGUGUGGUGUUAGAAUAGUGUAUGAGAAAGAUUUGGAAGAAAUGAAAGAGUUGCAGUGCGAUACCACUCAAUCUUCUCCAAAUUUUGAGCACAUCCACCAACACUCUGCUCACAACCAUGGAACAGUAGGUAGCAGUUCUCACAUAAAACGGAAACGUAAUAUCUAUGAGGAAAUGGUGGAAGAAGAGCCGCAACCAAAACGGAUGCAAAAUUUUUUCAAUUUUAUAAUGGGCCAAUCAGGGAAGAAGCAUUAACUGUGGUAAACUACUUAACCAUCCUUCUUACAUACCAAAAACUUAUAAAUCUUUUACUUAUAUUCAACAGGAGCUCAUAUUCCGUACAUAUCACAAUUGUUGAUAACAUAGUUUAUAUAUAUCAUUUAAAAUUUUAGUCGCUUAAUUCAUUCCUUUUUAUAUAACUGAAAUGUGUAAAUUUUGAUGGUUUCAUUUUUUAUUAAAAUUGUAUUUUCAUUAUAUAUACACUUACAUCUAUAUUUUAUUUGUAGGUUGAAAUAAAUAUAAUCAACUUGAGAUAGAAAUGUUGAGAAAAAUGGAUAGUUUCCGUGACAAAACAGGUAACAAUAAGGUGAAAUCCUUUAAUAAAGGCCAGAUCAUGAUUUUCAACUGUUGUGUUUUUUGUGAUAUUAACAAAAUUUUCUUGAUUUGAGGUAAGUUAAUAUACCGGUGAUAGAGAAAGGAUUAUAUGAAACUAUGGUUCCACGUCAUUCCUAUACAUUUUCAAUAGGAGAAUGACAACUCAAAAUUUUAGUAUUUUUAGUUGAAUUUGAAUUUGUCGGGAGGAAAAAGUUGAAAAUCGGGAGGAAAAAUCUGUUUUGUUAUUCUUCUAUUAGAAGGUGAUAUGAAUGAUUUAAAAUCACAGUUUCAUAAAAUCCCUUAAAAUCCCUUCUCACCAGUGAUGUAGAUGAUCUCAAUGCAACAAAAAUAACCUUGGUGUUUUAUGUUUGUCCCCUAGGCUAAUAGAAGUAUGAAAGUUUGGUCAAAGGAUCAUGCAAGUGAGGGACCAACAAAAGUCUUCAAGCUGAAAUGAAAGCGGACACUUUAGCAAUUAUAGGCUGGGAUGAAUUUAGAGAAAUAGAUUAUGUUAUUACAUAAUUAGUUGUUUUUUUACAUGUAAUGUAAAUUAUAGUAUUUUAAAUCGACCUUUUGAAUUUGUAAUGUAAAUUCAAAUAGUAAUUUAAUUGUAAUGUAAAUAAAACCUUUUAAAUUAGGCAUAAUGACAAAAAAGGUUCUUAGUGUUUAUAAAAUUUGACAAUUUAACCCUUAUUUUUUUAAGCAAUUUAGCUCUUAACAUUUUAUUUUGAGUCAAAUUAUGGAUUUUUUAAUGCAAAAUGCUUAUUGAACUAUUAACAGUGUUGACUUGACAUGAAUAGUGAAUUCAUUCCUUUUUACAAAUUUUAGUCACUCAAUUCAUUCCUUUUUACAUAAAUGAAAUGUGUACUUUUUUUUAAUUUUAUUAUAUAUAUAUAUAUAUAUAUAUAUUAACUUACAUGUAGGUUGAAGUUAAUCUAAUCAACUUAAUACUGAAAUAUUAAAAAAAAUGGAUAUCUUUUGUGACGAAGCAGGCAAAAAUAAAAUGAAUCCUUUAAUAAGGAUUAAUCAUUAUUUCAGCUGAGUUAAAAAUCAUUUCAUUUUUAUUAGAGAUUAAUUUAUGUGUUCAAUUUAAUCAGUCAAAAUUAUUUUUAUAUAUUGGGAAGAUUAAAUAUAAGUCCUUAAUAGUACUUAAAUAGGUUUAAUUCCUUCUAAUAAAAGUAACAUUUAAAUUUCAUGGCUUGAAGUACAAAUAAUAGUAUUCCAACUCUUUUAGUUUAUAUUGUUUAUACAGUAUUUAUAUUUAAACAUUUAUUUUUAACACUGAUUCAAACAUGAAAAUAAAGUAUGCUCUUUUAAUUAAUUGGAAAAUAUUUUUUGCGUGUGAGGCUUAUUCAACCUUUUUUUUUUUUUUACUUCAAUAGAUUUAUUUUUUGUUCUUGUCUAAUUUCCCUUUUCUGUUCUUGACAGUGGUUGUGUUUUCUGUAAUAUCAACAAAACUUUCUCAAUUUGAGGUAAGUUAAUAUACCAAUGAUAAUGAUGAUAUCAAUGCAACAAAAAUAAUUUUGGUGUUUUAUGUUUGUCCCCUAGACCGGUAGAAGCAUGGCUCAAAGGAUAAUGCAAGUAAGGAAUCGACAAAAGUCAAGUUGAAAUGGAAGUCAACACUUUCGCAUUUGGAUGAAUUUAGAAAAUUACGAUUUCAAAAAAUAGAUUAUGUUAUUAUAUAAUUUGUUAUUUUUUACUUGUAAUGUAAUGUAAACUAUACUAUUUUAAAUGGGGUUUUUGAAUUUUUUGCUUGUAACAUAUAAAUUUAAUUGUAAUGUUAAUAAAACCUUUUAAAUAGGUAUAAUGACAAAAAAAUGUUCUUAGCAUUUAUAAGAUUUUAUUUUGAGUUAAACUAUAAAUUUUUUUAUUGCAAAAUGCUGAUUAAACCGUUGACGUGAUAUGAAUAGUAAACUCUUUUUAAGGUUGGUCUCAAUUGGAUCAUCUUUCACAAUAGCCUUAUUUAUGUUUAUUAUGUUUUCUCAUUUGUUUCUAAUUUAUGAUGGUCUUCAACAGCUCUUGUAUAAGUUGAAAUGCGGCUGAGAUGGGAUUGCAUGUGGGAUUCUCGAGGGUGGAGAUCGAAGGAGACUCCUUAUCUGUGAUUCGGAAGCUGCAAAUAAAGGGAGUUGAAAGGUCAGUGAUAGGAGCCUAUAUCUCAAGUAGAGGGAUAUCAAAUCUGUGUCUUUAAACAUGUGCCAAAACAAGCAAACGGAGUUGGACAUCUAUUGGCUAUAGAGGGAUUAAAGAGAGAUGAAGAAACUUAUCUUGUUGGUGCGGUUCCUUCAUACACGAAAGUGGCAGCGGAAGAGGACCGUCAACAGUUGGGCCCACUAUGUCCAGCAGGUCAAAGAUCCACUGCUUAGAAAGAAGAUAAAAUGGGAUUUUACUGUGGGCAAACAGAUCGGAGAAUAGAUGGACUACUGGGUUUCUCAGUUUCAACGGAAGAUUGGUGUUUUGAAGUGAUGAAAUGCAGAGUUUAGCCAGACCUGAAGGGUUUCUGUUGAAAAAGACAGCAGCAACUAAGCAAAAUUCAAACAGCCAAGACUAAAGCUCAUUAACAGCAAAACAAAACAAAAAGAACAAACUGAAAAUCCAAAGAGAAGCAACAAGUAACCGAAUGAGAAAGUCCUAGCUUUCAUUUCCAUUUCAAAAUAUAAAGGGGUUACAAAAAUAAUAAUAAUAAGUUAGUUACCUAAACUGUAACUGCUCUUAACAAAUUUGGCAAGUUGCCAACUAAAAUAUUACAAAAGAAAAGCUGAAAAAAUUCAGCUGUUACAUCCAUCAAUUUCAAAUCUAAAAAUAUUAGCUUUAGAUAUCAAGCAACUUGCCAACUUGUUAAUAUAAAAAAAAUACAAAAUUUAAACAAAAGAAAGUUGCUUCUAGUUCAAUCUUCAAACAGACAUGCUGCUGCUGCUCACGAUGCUGGUAGUUUGUUGCAUUGCAGACCAAUGCUCAACACUCCUCCUUGGACUGUAGGCAACAAACACCAAUCGAAUCUCGUAAGAAUUCAAACCUGAUUGUGCCAAGAGGCUUUGUCAAAAUGUCAGCCAAUUGAUCUUGUGAGCUGCAAUGUAUAAGACACACUUCUUUGGAUUGAACAACUUCUCGAACAAAGUAAAACUUGAGCUUAAAAUGUUUGGUUUUUCCAUGAAAAACAGGAUUUUUGGAGAUGGCAACUGCUGACUGAUUAUCCACCAUAAUUUCAGUAGGCUCAAGCUGUUCUUCAUUCAAAUCACAUAGCAACUUCCUAAGCCAAAUGGCUUGAUUCACUGCUGCAGCUGCUGCUAUGUAUUCUGCUUCAGCAGUAGACUAAGCAACAGUUUGUUGCUUCUUUGAACUCCAACUGAAAACUCCCGAACCAAGUGUAAAGAAGUAGCCUGAAGUACUUCUCAUAUCAUCAACUGAUCCACCCCAGUCACUAUCUGAGUAGCCAGUUAAUUUCAGCUCACUUCCUUUCUUGAACAUUACACCAAACUUCAAAGUACCUUUGACAUACCUGAGUAUUCUCUUUGCUGCUUUCAAAUGAGUUGUAUUGCAGCUAUGCAUGAAUCUAGACAGUAGACUAACUGAAUGCAUAAGGUCAGGUCUGGUUGCUGUCAAGUAUAGUAAACAACCAAUCAGGCUUCUAUACUCCUUUUCAUCUACCUUUUCUUCAUUUCCAAAGCUGCUUAGUUUCGAUCCCACAUCUAAUGGUGUGCUCACUGGUUUGCAGUUUUCCAUAUGAAACUUAGUGAGAAUUUUCAAGGCAAAUGCAUGCUGGCUAAUAAAAAUGCCUUGAUCAGACUGGUCUACUUCCAUACCAAGGAAGUAAGUCAUGAUUCUCAAGUUUGUCAUGUCAAACAUGUCUUGCAUAUUCUUCUUGAACUCCUGAAUCAAAUUGACCCUGCUUCCAGUCACAAAUAGAUCAUCCACAUAUAUUGAGACAAUCAGCAAAGUCUCAUCUUUGGACUUCUUUAUAAACAAAGUUGGCUCACUCAAACUUUUCUCGAAAUUGAGCCUAGACAGGUAAGCAUCUAUCUUGUCAUACCAGACUCGAGGAGCCUGUUUUAGUCCAUAGAGUGCCUUCUUCAGCUUGUAAACCUUGUCCUCCUUUCCUUGGACUUUAAAUCCAUCAGGCUGUUCAACAUAAAUUUCUUCUUUAAGAAAACCAUUCAGGAAAGCUGACUUGACAUCAAGUUGAUGGACCCUCCACUGCUUUUGUGCUGCGAAGGCAAACAGAAGCUUUAUGGUAUCCAGCCUUGCCACUGGAGCAAAUGUCUCCUCAAAAUCAAUGUCAAACUGUUGAUUGUACCCUUUCACCACAAGCCUUGCCUUGUGUUUGUUCAAAGAGCCAUCAGCAUUGAAUUUGGCCCUGAAAACCCAUUUGACACCUAUGACCUUCUUCUGAUCAGGUCUGUCUACCAGAUCCCAAGUGUCAUUUUUGUGGAUCAUGUCAAUUUCAACCUCCAUAGCCUUCUUCCAGCUCUUGCUUCUUGCAGCUUCUUCAUAGCUUGAAGGCUCAACAAUGGCCACAUUGCAUCUUUGGUAGAUAUCAGCAAUAGACCUGGUCCCCCUCACAGGAGCAUCAUCUACAUUGGCAUUACUGACUUCAUUUUCUGCCAAUUCCAGAUUGCUGUCAAUCUGCUCUUCUUCAAACUAACUUGUGUUAGAGCCAUCUAGACUCCAAAACCUUCCUUCAUCAAAUUUGACAUCCCUGCUUACCAAAAUCUUCUUGGUUGAAGGAUCAAAUACUCUGUAGCCCUUCUUGCAGCUACUGUAGCCAACAAAUAUACCAGGAACUGACCUCUUCUCGAGCUUGGUUCUUCUUUCUGCAGGGACAAGUACAAAACACAUGCAACCAAACACUUUUAAAUGGGAAACAGUUGGUUUGAGAUCAUACCAUGCUUCAAAAGGAGUUUUAUCAUUCACAGCAUGUGUUGGUAGCCUAUUGAGCAGGUACACUGAGGUGUUGACACCUUCAGCCCAAAAAAUUCUUGGAAGCUUGCUUUGAAACAACAAACACCUGGUCAUGUUCAUCACUGUUCUGUUCUUCCUUUCACAUACUCCAUUUUGUUGAGGAGUAUACACUGAGGUCAAUUGAUGAUGAAUCCCAGCCUGCUCACAUAGCUUCUGAAAUAUUUCAGACAAGUAUUCAGAACCAUUGUCUGUCCUCAAGGCCUUAAUCCUGCAGCCUGUUUGAUUUUCUGCCAAUGUCUUGAACUUUCCAAAAACUUCAAACACUUCUGACUUCUGUUUCAUGAAAUAAACCCAGCAAAAUCUGGUCAGAUCAUCAAUAAACAGUAUAAAAUACUUACUGCCAUUCAGUGAAGGCGUCUUCAUUGGUCCACAGACAUCUGAGUGCACCAACUCAAGUCUUUCUUGAGCCCUCCAUGCUUGGUUUACUGGAAAAGGCAACCUGGCCUGCUUACCAAGCUGGCACACUUCACAAACAGACUCAUUUGCAUCAACCUUAAUCAUGUCCUCUGUCAAACUUAUAUUGUGUAGCAAAUUGAGUGACCUGAAAUUGACAUGGCCAAAUCUUCUAUGCCACAUAUCAGCAUUGUCAACUGAACUUGUAUAGGCUCUUCUCUCAAGUUGGCUCACAUCCAGCAUGAAACACCUAUCUGCCAUUGGUGCUGAAACAACUUCUCUACCAAGAACAUCAUUAAUAACACAAGAAUCAUUCUUGAAAACUAGAGAGUAGCCUUUCUUAACCAGCUGACCUACACUAAGUAGAUUUUGAUCUAUUUCAGGUACAUAGAGCACAUCUGUAAUAACCUUUUUACCUGAACCAGUGUUGAUCACAACAUCACCUCUGCCUUUAGCUUCAAUCAGAUUCUCAUUGCCUAUCCUGACCUUUGAAGUAAAACUCCUGUUAAGGUCCUUGAAUAGGCUCUCAUCUGAUGCCAUGUGAUGUGAGCAGCCACUAUCCACAAGCCAACUGCAUUUGGAUUUGCUUGUGGUUGCAGAACAUGAGGCAGUGAAGACAUGCUCCUCCUGAGCUUGAAGAUCUUCAGCAGUCUUGGCUUGUACUGGCAGAGUUUGUGCCUUUUCUUGAUUUCUACAAAUCUUUUCAUGGUGACCAUACUGCUUGCAACUCUUGCAUUGGAUGUUUGGUCUGUUCCAGCAAUACUUCUCUAAAUGAUUAGUCUUCUUGCAGUGAACACAUGGUGGAAACCUCCUUCUACCAGCAUCUUUCUUUGAUCUUUCCCUCUUUUCAAACCAAGGCUUCUUAGCUUUCUGACUUGAGCUGGAGCCUUCUCUGACCUUUGCUUGAAAAACACCUUCAGGACUCUCCUCCUGCCUACUUGCUCUUCUCUGCUCAAGUGCAUAGAGUGAGUUAGCCAACUCAGACAAAGAAAUGAUUGUGAGAUCUCUCGAGUCCUCUAAUGAGCAGAUUUUUGACUCAAACCUUUCAGGUAAGGUGGUAAUAACCUUCUCAACAACCCUGCUGUCACUGAAAUCUUCUCCAAGGAGUCUGAUAUUAUUGACAGUAGCCAUAAUUCUAUCAGAAUAUUGCUUGAUAGUUUCUGACUCCUUCAUCUUCAAAUUUUCAAACUCCCUUCUAAGAUUUGUAGCGACCUAAAAAUUUGGGGUACGGGCGCUAGUCGAAAUAAUUAUUGAAAAUUUAAAAACAGCGUCUCGAUUUUAUUUGCAAAAGGAGUUGCCACUGAUCUUUUUUUAGGUGUGAUCGGACACCUAAUAAAUUCUAUUUUUAGAAGAAAAAUUUAUUUUUAAAUUUUCCUAAAAAAGAGGUAAUUUUAGGUCUGCGUGAAAAUCCAGAUAAAAUUAAGGUUCGGGAGUCGGUUACGCGCGAGGAAGGUAUUAGCACCCUCGCGACACCCAAAAUUGGUAUCUCGUUAAACGCACGUCGUCUUAAUUUUCAAAAAUACGAGUUCAAUUUAAUAUUUACUCGUGAUCCAAUUGAAACAUGAGAAUUUUUUUAAAACACGAGAAUUUUGCAGCACCAAUUUUUAAAAAAAACGAAAAUUUUUGAAACAUGAGAAAUUUUUUUAAAAACACAAAAAUUUUUGAAACACGAAAAUUUUAAAAAACACGAAAAUUUUUAAAACACAGCAAUUUUUGAAACACGAUAAUUUUUCAAAACACAAAUUUUUUUAAAGAACAUGACAAUUUGUGAAACACUAGAGUCAUUGAAAACACGGAAAUUUGUGAAAAAACAAAAAUUUAUGAAACACAGAAAUUUAAAAAAAAACACAGAUUUUUGAAACACCGAAAUUUUUGAAAACACGAAGAUUUUUGAAACACGAAAAUUUUUGAAAAUACGAAUUUUUUUUAAAUACAGAAAUUUUUAAACACGGGGAUUUUUGAAACAUGGAAUUUUUUUAAACGUGAAAAUUUUUGAAACACAAUUUUUUUUAAGAAGUGCCGUAUUUAACACGAAUCAAUAAUAUUCAUCCCUACAUGGCGAUGAAAUCAUCGAAUUAGUGCCAAAUCGAUUCAACUUAAUAUUUAAUCGUGAUUUUAUUAAAACACGAGAAUUUUAAAAAAACAUGAGAAUUUUAGAAUAUUUUCGAUUUUUUUUAAAAGGGCGUAUCGUGUUUAACACAAACCGAUGGUAUUCACCCAACAUAGCGAUGAAAUCAACAAUUGAAUGUUAAAUCGAUUCGUUGCCUUAUUUAUUAAAAUUACUUAAAAUAAAAUAAAAUUGAAAUUGAAUUAAAUUAAAAAUAUAAAUGCAAAAAUAUAAAAAUGCAUAAAAGUACAAAUAAUACUAAAACGGAAUAGCAUAAAAAUACGGGUAUUAAAUUAAAAGUGAAAUAAACGAAAUUACCAGAAAUAUCCAAAACACGAGCUUAGUCGAACGGGUUACCAAAUUGAACCCUUUUCUUUUUUUCUUUUUUCUUUUUCUUUUUUUCUUCCUUUUUUUUCUGCUGCUGGGCCGGCCUGUUGGACUGCUGGGCAAACUGGGCCUGGCGCUGUGGGCCUUCUGGGCUGGUCUGGUGCUGCCUAGAUGCCUGCUGGGCCUUUGCUGGAAAUGGGCUGCUGUUGGCCUGCUAACAAAAAUGGCCUGCUGUGUUUUUUUUUGCUGUUUGCUGUUUUUUUAGGGGCUGCUCUUUUUUUGGGCUGCUGGGCUGCUGUUUUUUAUUUGGGCUUCUCGGAUGAUGCGGGUCGGGCCUGGUGCGGGUCGGGUCGGGUCGACNNNNNNNNNNNNNNNNNNNNNNNNNNNNNNNNNNNNNNNNNNNNNNNNNNNNNNNNNNNNNNNNNNNNNNNNNNNNNNNNNNNNNNCUUUUUUCUUUCUUCUUCGGGUCACCCCUAGCCCCCACGCCGUCGCCGACCCCCCCUCCGUCCGGUGUUGCGGUGGCCGACGCGACUCCCUUCUCCUCUCUUCCUCCCUUUCUUUUCUCUUCUCUUUUCUUCCUUUUUCCUUUGGGUUGCUGUUUUUUUUUGCUUAUUGCUUUUUAUUUUCUCUUUGCUUGUGUUGUAGGUGUUGGGACGGUAGUGGCGGUGCUGUCGUGGUGGUGGGGACGGUGGCGCGCGGUGGAGCUGCUGUUUUCCUUGUGUUUUGCUGCCUUUUUUUUCAUUUUUUCUCUGCUGUUUUUUUGGUUUUUUUGGCUGCCGAAAAAAUCCCCCCAUUUCUCUCCAAUUUCCUCCUUUUUAAUCCCCUAAUUUUGUCAUCUUCUUCUUGUUUGCAGGUGGCAGAGGAGGGCAUCAUGGCCUAGGGAGGCUGCUGGAGUAGCUCGGCUGGGGAAGGGUACGUUCGGCUGCUGAUUGCAGCGAUUUGACAAGUCCAGAAGGACUAAAUUGCAUGGGAUGCAAAGCUUCUGCGGUAAAAGUGUAAUUUUAGCAAAAAUAUGGGCCAAAAUGUAAUUUCUUGAGAGUUUAGGGGUCAAAGUGAAAUUUUUAGAAAGUCUAAAGGUCGAAAUGUAAUUUUAGAAAGUUUUGGGGUUAAAAUGUAAAUUUUGGAAAAGUUUGGGGUCAAAAUGUAAAUUUUGAAAAGUACAGGGGUUAAAAUAUAAAAAAAACUUUUUUUGAAACACGAAAUUAAUCCCGGACAAAAUUCAGUGAUUACAAGAUUAAUUACUUGUUGCUGCCUUGUCUUGUUUGAUCCCAUGAACUCCUCUUUCAGCCUAUCUCAUGCUUGUUUGGGUGAGUCACAGGCCAUGAUGCGAGUAAAAAUCAUAUCAGACACUCCAUUCUGUAGGCAGGCCAUGGCUUUAUGCUUCUUGGCUCGCUCCUCACCAUGUUGCCUGAUCUGAGCAAUGGUUGGAUUUGCUCUCAAUAGUGGUGGCUCGACAUCAUUUUCAACUGCACUCCACAGAUCAAGUGCUUGGAGGUAAGUUUUCAUUUUAACUACCCAAAUGUGGUAGUUUUCUCCAGCAAAAACUGGUGGUGGAGGAGGUGCAAAGCUCAUGUUGUUGGAACUGGUUUGACAAACACGAUUUUUGAGUUUAUUUUGAAACAAAAAAAUUUAAACAACAGAGGUCCUCAAAGACAAGAGGCUCUGAGAAAAAGACAGCAGCAACUAAGCAAAAUUCAAACAGCCAAGACUAAAGCUCAUUAACAGCAAAACAAAACAAAAAGAACAAACUGAAAAUCCAAAGAGAAGCAGCGAGUAACCGAAUGAGAAAGUCCUAGCUUUCAUUUCCAUUUCAAAAUAUAAAGGGAUUACAAAAAUAAUAAUAAUAAGUUAGUUACCUAAACUGUAACUGCUCCUACCAAAUUUGGUAAGUUGCCAACUAAAAUAUUACAAAAGAAAAGCUGAAAAAAUUCAACUGUUACAUCCAUCAAUUUCAAAUCUAAAAAUACUAGUUUUAGAUAUCAAGCAACUUGCCAACUUGUUAAUAUCAAAAAAAUACAAAAUUUAAACAAAAGAAAGUUGCUUCUGGUUCAAUCUUCAAACAGACAUGCUGCUGCUGCUCACGAUGCUGGUAGUUUGUUGCAUUGCAGACCAAUGCUCAACAGUUUCUUCCACUUGCAUCGGAAAGAUCUAGCAGACAUUUUGGUGGUUAUCAACAAAACAGAGAAGGCAUCUGAAGGGUUUCGCUUUCUCAGAUGUCUAGGGAAAAGGAAAGUCUGCCUGGGUGUUUGGAUUAUCCUGCUUUUAUUUAACGUUUGUUUAUUGCAUAUUUUCUGUUUUGUCUAGGCUCUAAAUGAUUUGGAAUUUGUUUUAUUAAUAUAAUCCAGCCAUUCAUAUUUCAAAAAAUAAAAAUAAUAAUGGGUCCAAACCUGAUCAAUUCACUAGACUACACACAAACAUCAAAUCUUGAACUUCUGAUUUUUGAAAGGUUGUACCAAAUUAGUGGAUGUUCAUCCAUCAAUUAGAGUGCUUAGGAACCUUAAACUUUUGAAUUUAAGAGAUUGUAAAAGUCUCAAGAGUCUUCCGACUGAAAUUGGAAUGGAAUCUCUAGAAACAUUAAUUCUUUCGGGUUGCUCAGGUCUUGUAAGGUUUCCGGAGAUUGAUGGGAAAAUGGAACGUCUAAAAACUCUAGAUCUUUCUGGUUGUUAUAGAGUGGAAAAUUGAUCGGAGAAUUUGCAGCAAGCAAAGUUUUUGGAGCUCGACUUGAGUGAAACAGCCAUAGCAGAACCACCAUCCUUUAUUUUUCAAUUUAAAAAUCUUAAAGUUCUUUCUUUCAAUGGGCGCAAGGGACCAUCAUAUAAGUUACUACCAAAUUUGCCUUCUCUUUUCAAGGUAAUCCAAGGAAGAAGGACGAAUCCCAUGGCUCAGAUGUUGCCUUUGUUGUCAGGUUUGAGUUCUUUAAGAGAGCUAAAACUAAGGGACUGCAAUCUUUGUGAAGGAGAUCUUCCACGUGAUAUUUAUGGUCUAUCCUCUUUGUGGCCUCUUGAUCUUAGUGGUAACAAUUUCAUCAGCAUACUUGCAUCUCUUACUCGACUCUCGAAGCUCGGAAAUCUUAUAUUGUCAAAUUGCAACAUGUGCACUCUUGGUGAAGCAGAUAUUCAUGGUGAUAUUUCUGGUAUAUCCUCUUUGAUACGUUUUGAUCUUAGUGGUAAGAAUUUCAUCACCAUUCCUUUGGCUCUUACUCAACUUUCCAGGCUCAAAUUGCUUAAAUUGUCAGGUUGCAAGAUGCUUAAAUCGUUGCCUGAGCUACCAACAAGUAUAGCAGCUGUGCAUAUAGAUGGUUGUUCUUGACUUGAAGUAGUUGCAAGUCCAUCAAAAGUAUGCAAUUUAGUGGGCUGUGAUGACAUUAGUGCCAUUAACUGCUUCAAAUUGGCUGAGAAAAUCAAUGCAUUAACUCAAAGUUGGGAAUUCCGGUAAUUGCAAAAAUGGAAGUGGUGGAAAAAGAGAAAACACUACCAUCUGUGGAGUUCUUGAAUUGGAUUGGAUUCUUGUAGAAGAUGUGACCUUUUGUAUGGGUUGUAAAAUUAGUCAGUUUAAAGAGCCCACUUGAACCUACGCCCGCAAGUUCGCCAACAUUCAAGUAACCAUUGAAACUGAAGUACUGACCCUGAUUGAUAUCUGAAGAUGCAGGAGGAAAAGCAACACACGCAUGAUCAAACACACAAAAAAAUAUAUACAAUAGACAUUUAGAUAACCAAUCAGUUAGGUAAUGAGCAGCCUUGAUUUCAUAAUCAUCAAACCCAACAUUUAGAUCAUACAAAGAGAGAAAUUUUAUAAGGGUACAGUAGAACCUGUCUUUUGUUGACUGAGCUGCAGUGAAAAUGCAUUCGCAAGAACGAUCUUUUCGAUUCUAAGGAGCUCAUAGAGAAGUAUUCCACGAAUAUAUUUGAUUUUCAACCUGGAAAAAAAAAUAAUUACUACUAUAAUUAUAAUUGACAGCAAUAAAUGCACGUACACUUUUUCAACAAAUCAUAAGGCAUGGUACGAGGUAAACUCCAAUUUGAAUUCACAUCCCUUAGAACCCCUUCAAUCACCGUGACACCAAUAUUAAUGUCGGUUGUCUCAUUCGAAUUAAGCUGAACCCAACCUUCCUUGGGAUGUCACCAUUGCUUUGCAGCUCUGGAGAUCAUUGUAACAAAAAUAUUAGAAGACCCUAUGUGAGUUGAACUUUUAGCCCAAGAUAGACUAGACAUAACAACUUCCCCAUUGCUGUUACUUGCAUCUUUAAACACAAAAGCAUUACGACACUUCCAAAGACAUCAACAAAUAAUAGGAAACAAAGUCGACCAGUCUAUUCCCUCAACAUCAAUCUGCCCAAUAUUCUUUAAUUUCCAAAUAAGUUAAUCCUUAAUAUGCAAAAACCUGCUAAGAUCAUCUGGAACAAGAUUAUUCCAAACAUUAAUCUUAGCAAAAGAAAAAUCCCUCAAAACUUGUAUGGUUGCCUCAGCCUGCUCACAUCUUGAGUAACUAGUGUCAGCUGUCACAUGUCAUCAAGCUCUCUCCUCAUUCGCUAACAAAUGUCCCUUAAAAUGAAUUCAAAGAAAAUGUCUUAUUCAUUGAAGACCUUUGCAUUUCCUGACCAUAUUCCAAUCCUCACUUGCCACAUCCCAUUCAUCUCUUGCAACUGAUCUGUAAGUUGUUGCCUCUCAGGAUGUUGGAGUUCGACAAGGACCCAUUGAGGUUCGACCAGAACCUAGGUAUACCCCCACCUUAUAAAACAAUGACAAUCCUUGUAUGUAAUUGUAGAGUGGUGAAGCAUGAUGUACUGUAAUUUGAAAUGUUAAAUUAGGCUUUCCUGUAACAAGCUUGUUCUCAAGUAGUUUAAGAGUAUUUUUAUGUUUUUUUAUCGAUUUUUAACUUUUAGUUUCAAUGCUAACUUUUAUCACAUUUUAUCACUUUUGAAACCCAAAUUGAUAAAACUAUGUCAUUAGAGGUCUAAUGAUUAAUUUGAGCUUGUAUAAGGAGGUGAUUGAGGCUAAACAUCAAGGAGGAAUUCAACUGUUGCGGAGGACGCAACACAAGUGAUUCACAGAGUUUAGAAUUUGAUUUAAAAGAAUUUGGAUGCGUAGAAGAGUAUACGGAAAAAGACAAAUGAAUCAUAUAAUUUUGUUGUUACAGAUUUAAGGCAUGUUCUAAAAACUCUAAAAUUUUUAUUCAAAGUUUUAUAAUGUAGUGAUUAAACAAAGCAUGGAUUAAUUGUAUUUUAAUUAAAUUGUUUUUAAAAAUUAAAUUGUUUUUUAGAUCCUAAUGGAAUUUUUAUUUUUUAUAUUGAAGUCCUUACUAUGUAGAUUUCAAUUGAUUCAAUCUGUUCCUUAAUUUAACAUUCCAAAAUGAAUAGUCGUAUGAAUUUUUAUUUUUCAUAGCUCUACACUAAAGUUUUAAAAAUUUUGCCUUAUAUUAUCACUAAUAGUCGUAGCAAUUUAAAGAAAAUGAAUAUUUUUUAAAAUUUUCCCUAAUAUUAAUUAUAAAAACUAUAAAAAAUAAAAUAAUACAUUUUAAUUAAUACAAACAAUCAACCCGAGCAUCACAUGUAUAAAGAAAACAAGAUGCAUAAUAAAACAUUUAAUUUACCACUCAACUAAAGUUUUAUCUUGAUAACUCUAAACAUUUUAAUUUUAUUAUACACACCUACCUCCAUCAAUUGUAUAUAUCUAUAUAUUAUAAUUUAAGCUCCUGAUUGAGUUGAGCAACAAUUUAGCUAAAAAAAUUAUAAAAAUAUCAUUCUGUAAUUAAAUAAGUUAUCGAGAAUAUUUUAAUCUUUUUAUUUAAAAAUAAUAAAAAUAUGCAUAAAAUAAUUUUUUAAAGUGAGCUUCCUUUCCAAAAUAUAAAUGAGACCUAUCAGUUAUUAUUAUGUAAAUAACACUAUAUUUGAAUUCAUUAUUUAAAUAUCAAUAAUUGAUAUUUAAAUAAUGAUUAAUAUACAAUAUUCGUCAUUGUUGACGUUAAACACCAAUAGUACAUGUAAUUAAGAAAUUAACAUAUGAAGGACUUCGGACAACCAUGCUUUAUAUUGUAAUAAAAAUAGAAAGGUUAUGCAUGUGACCACCUUUCUAUUUAAAUUGGAGCGAAACUUUUGAUGAGCUGUUCAUAUCAGAAUUAAAUAUGUCAAAAUAAUCCAAUAAGGUUAAAUAAAAAUUAAAUCUUUUUGAAUACCGUAUAUAAAAUUAUAUUUUUAUCAAUUAAAUUUUAAUUUUUAAAUAAAAUCUUUAAAUAUUAUUAUGCCACGUAUUCAAAUAUAAUAAAAAUUUAUUAAUAAUGUAAAUUGAGUUAAGAGAUAAAAGAAUAUAGAGAUUGUGCUGGAAAUGAAAACCCAAAUUACAUAAUGAGAAGGAAAGAUGGAACUAUCAAAUUCCUUAUUAUUUAUAGGAAAUUAGGGAGAAUAAGGAAAAGAAAUUGAUUCAUGAAGAGAUAAGGAGAUUGGCGUGGCAUUGGUGACUUACAUGCAUGUCCCUAUUGCCUAUUCAACAUUAGAUUCCUUUAGCUACUAUUCUCCUAAUGCAAACAAUGAAGUCCCCAGCGAUAACAGACAAUUCUACAUCAAUGCAUGCGCCCGUUUUCUUCCCCUUCGCCUAAUUUCCCCUUCCAAUUUCCAUCGCAUGCAUGCUCUUUCAUUUUAUCUUCAAACUUCUUAUCUCCUUAUCUCUUCAUGAAUCAAACUUUUUAUUAUAUUUGAAUACGUGGCAUUAUAAUAUUUAAAGAUUUUAUUUGAAAAUUAAAAUUUAAUUGAUAAAAACAUAAUUUUAUAUAGGGUAUUUAAAAAGAUUUAAUUUUUAUUUAACCUUAUUUGAUUAUUUUGACAUAUUUAAUUCUGAUAUGAACAACUCAUCAAAAAUUUCGCUCUAAUUUAAAUAUUUAUCUAAAGAUUAUUUACAAUAUAAAACAUACAUCAACUACUUUUUUAUUCGAUUAAGCUUUUUAAUUUGUUAUGCAUGUGACCACCUUUCUAUUUUUAUUACAAUAUAAAACAUUAUAAAAAUCUUAAAAUAAAAAGGAAAAACCCUAUUAUACAAAACCCUAUUACUCGAUUCGGAAGGCUUUAAAAUAUAUUCCUAAAUGACAUUGGCAUGAACAGCCACAGUAUGCUACUUAUGAUGCUUAAAUAUAUAUACAAAACCCUAUUACUCGAUUCGGAAGGCUUUAAAAUUUUAUUUAAUUUUACAAUCAUAAUUUUUAAAGAAAAACCCGAUACUUUUCCACUUCACCUACCGCGAGAAACAAAUGUUUCUGUAAUUGUUAUUGAAGGAACGGUGUUUCUCUCGGCUGUCAACUCAUUAGGAGCGCCCACUUCAUUUGAUACUGCUGGGAAUUCUCGAACUUUGAUAACAGAGCUGAUGUCAUCGGGCAAUGAAGCAACACCGUCCAAAUACGAUAUAACGCUGGACAUGCUAGGCCUAGCCGCUGUCACCGGGUGUGAGCAAAGCAACCCAAGCUUCAACACCAACUCCGCUUGUUGUCCCACAAAUGAUCUCUUCCCCAACCUCUUAUCAAUAGUCGCCAAAAUGUCUCCUUUAUCCCAGCAAUCCUUUAUCCAGUCAGCAAGAAAUGCUUCCUCUGGUGCCGUUUGUGGUUCGAUCGGCUUUCUACCACAGGCAACUUCAAGCAUGAAUAUUCCAAAAGCAUAUAUAUCAGUGCUUGUGUUUGCUUGCCCGGUUCUUGCGAGCUCAGGAGCCAUGUAACCGAGCGUGCCUGCUACAUGAGAGGUUUGAGGAUCAUUUCCAAGGUCGCAUAGCUUUGCCAUCCCGAAAUCUCCUAGUCGGGCGUUCAUUUCACUGUCUAUCAGCACAUUGGCAGGCUUGAUAUCUCUGUGAAUGAUGACUUGCACCCAUUGCUGGUGCAGAUACAACAACGCGGAAGCUACGUCCUUGAUGAUCUUAAACCUUUGUGUCCAAUUAAGGCUGCUAUUAGGUUGGUAGUAAAGAAACUUGUCAAGGCUUCCAUUAGGCAUGUAGUCAUAAACCAAAAGCAACUCGUGCUUGCGCUUGCAAUAACCGAGAAGUCGAACCAAAUUCGGAUGCCUGAGGUGACCGAUGGUUGCAAUCUCAGCCACGAAUUCUCUCAUACCUUGCCUUGAAUCAUGAGAGAUCCUUUUAACGGCAAUUUGUAUGUUGGAAGAGGGUAAAACACCCUUAUGCACCUUACCAAAUCCACCUCUCCCUAGAACUUCCUUUUCUUUAAACCCCUUUGUUGCUUUGAAUAGAUCUUUAUAUGAGAAUCUAUGAGGCCGUACUGAACCUCCCAAUCCUCGAGAAUCUCCAUGAAUCUCUUCUUCCUUGAGAUCAACACAAACCCGAAAAUCAAUACGAGGACUAAAGUGAGACCUGUGAAAGAAAGGGUGAUAGCCAAAAUCUUCUUUAAUUGCUUGAUUCCUCCGUUAUCAUGUCGUGGAAUCUUUGGAAGGCGAGACAAGUCUAGCUCAUCAGGUGAGCCAUUCAUCUUGAAACUCCAAGCCAAUAUGUAGUGUGAGGAUGAAGUAGCUGAAACAGAACCGGUGGACGACGAGAAGCCGACAUACAUAGAGUCAUACAUAUAAGGAGACAGAUCCUUUUUGUAGGAUAUAAGUGGGGUUUUUGGCCUUGGUAGAUUGAUGGGAUACAACGUAACAUUGAGUCGCUUCUCAACCCCGUUGUAUUCUAUCCAUAUUUGCAUUGGGUCUCCGCUUACAAGGCUGACAUUGAUGAACUCACCUUCAUCAGUGUAAUACCCCGCAGAAGCAGAUUUCACCGAGUUUACGCUAUUGAUAUCGAUGCCAACAUGGUUGUCAUCACUGUCAUUGAGGUCAAAGCUUUGAACUGUAUCCAGCUCAACCGCAACAAUAUGAUUUGAGCUGUCACCGUUAUUUGUUUCAUUGAAAAGACCAAGAUACUGGACGGCAGAAGCUGCGGGAAUUUCAUUGUUUGGCGAGAUUACAAAGGCCAUUCCAUGGCCGCCGUAUUCCGGUCUAAUUGCAAAAAUGAAUGUGGUAGAAAAGGAGAAAACACUACCAUUUUUGGAGUUCUUGAAUUGGAUUGGAUUCUCGUAGAAUUUGUGACCUUUUAUUAGGCUUGUAGAGUUAGUCAGUUGAAGCAGCCCAUAGCAACUAAACUGACCCUGGUUGAUAUCUGACGAUGCAAGGUUCAGAAGGAAAAGCAGGAGCACAAGCAUGAUCAAACAAGACAUUAUUACACACAAAAUUACAGCAAUAGUGAUUAAGGGCUGUAGUAAGUUUUGUUGUGUAAGCAAGUUAUUCUGCACCAUCAGUCCAAUAUAAAUAAAAAGAAACCAAAACACCAUUGUCUUAAUCGAUUUGAUUAAGACCUCAAAGAAAUUUCCGGAAUUUUACCUGUCAGUAGUAAGGAAAUUGCUCUCCUUUAAAGACGAUAAGAUGAGAUUAUUUGGUAAAGGUGAUGAUAUCUUCUGAUAAUGAAACACUUGACAAUUCUUUACCUCUAAUAUAUGUAUUUAAAAAAUUAAUGAUUAUAAUUCUUGCUUUCCUUUCCUUUCAAUAAAAAACUUGAAACGCAAUGAAAUUUACCAUUUCAGUAAAAAAAAUCAUUUAAUUCUUGCUUUCCUUCACCCUAUUUAGAUAAUUAACUGUUUUUCUACAAUUUUAGUUAAAACAAUAAAAAAUUACUUACAAACAAUGUUUAAGAUACUAAGCGUGCAAAGAAUUUGUCAUAUAUGAUAGUAACAUAUUUGACUUUUACUUGCAAACCAUUACACUAGUAUUUAGUAAACACACUGUCAAUCAUGAGCCCAGGAUUUCCACACUUAUAUUAAUUUAUUAAUUGAUAAUUCUGUAAUUUCAUUUAAUUUAAACCAUAAUUACUAAAAGGUGAUUAAAAAUAUACUGGCUUGUAUAUCAGAUCAUAAUAUAAAAACUUAAAUGAAUCUCAAGACUAUUUACACUCAAUCACUUCAUUAUUGUACACAUUACUAAUUAACAUUACCUCCUUUUAAUUAAAUUCUGACCAAACUAUUUCACCCAAUUACUUGCAUUUGAUUUAACGUAACGUCGUGGAACCAAAUUCAACUCAUAAUUGAAAAGGGUAUUGAUCAAGAAUCAAUUUUAAGGUGAAAGUAUUGACCUCAAUAUUACUAGUAAAAAAAUUAACACAUGUAAUAAUUGGAUCAACAUUGUUAAAUAAUUAUAUAUCGCCUUAAAAUUAUACACUAAAUUGGAGUAUUGUUAUUUAAAAAUAAAUUUAAAAUACUCAAAAAAAAUAAUGUUGGCCAUAAAUCCAUUUAAAAAUUUAACAGUCAAAUAGACAAAAUAUUUCGCUUCAUAACUUGUAUCUUAAUUAACUUGUCACGUCCGGUUAACAUUAUUAAAUCAAAGAAAUACAAGGAUUUAUUAACAUAAAUUAUAAGGUUAAAUUAAAGUUUAAAGGUUCACUUAAAAUAUGAAAGGGAUUAGAUAAUACCAUAAGGCUCCAAAAUGAGUUUGCAAAUAUUAGAACCAUUUAAAAUAUGGACCAAGUUUGAACUCCAAUAUUUAAAGUCAAAGCUUAGCUCAACCCGCAUUAUACUUUUUGUAAUAUAUUUUUAUUUUAAUUUUCACAUAUUAUGCAAUUUAUAUCACAUAAAAUAGAAUAUAUAGUAAUAUAAAUACUAUGUAAAUAUUAAAAAUAUAUAUUAAAUUGUUUAUAUUUUAAUUUUAAUAAAAAACUAAAAUAUUAAUUUAAUUUAAAACAUUUUAAUAUAUAUAUACACACUAAUCUAAACGAAUUUAAAUUAAUUAGUUACAAAUAUAAAUAAAUUUAGAUAAAACUAUAGUUCUAUAUUUAAGUCAAAUUGAGGUACGGCGGACAAAAUAUAUUAAUAUUAUGUAUAAAUUUCAUCUGAACCAAUUUCACUAGGUCUAUAAGCACUAAAUUGAAUAAAUAUUAUUCCAAAAAGGUUAUUUAAUAAUUACUGGGCUUCUAGUUACUGAAAAGCGAGUUCAAUAGUAGGUAAUGGUAUUUCUAUUUCACUUUGGAAGUAGAUUUUUAUAAAAAUAAUCUUAAAAAUUAAUUAAUUAUAAAAAUGAGUUAGGAAAACAAAUAUAUACGAAUAUGAGUUAUAGUAUUUCUCAGUACAACUUGACACACCAAUGAAACUACUCGCAUUUUUCCCCUAAUCAUCAGUGUUUAAAAAAAAGAUUUUUUUUUUGUGUCAACAUUGUGUCAGGCAAUAUCGUAUAUAUUUUUUAAAAUAUUAGUGAAAAAUAUGAGUAUUCACAAUGAAGAAAAAAUACUUUUAUAAUGUAUGUCACCGUUAAUUAGACAGUACCAGUUAAAACUUUUUUUAAAAGAUCUAUAUUUUCAAAUAUGCACAAAAAAAAAAGAGAAAUAUUUUUUUAUUGAUGUUGGACAUCAUCUUAAUUUUAAAAAGUUGACAAAAUAAAUAAAAAAAUCUGCUAUAAAAAGAAAAUUUUAUUGUCUUGUCCAAGAGAAUGGUUCCAAAGCAUGCCUAGUUGCUUAGUUCUAACGGUUAUUUUACUCAAAUGACCCUAAAAAAUAAUUAUUUACGUAAAUGAUUUUAAUUAAAAAAUAAUCAUUUAAAUGACUUAAAAUAAAUAGUAAAAUUGGGUUAGGGGUAAUAAAUUGUCGAGAUCACCUAUUUUUAUGACACAAUCAUUACCGAAUGAUUGUGUCAAGUGUUAAAAAAGAUUUAAAUACUGAAGACUAGAUGAUUGACACCCUUAUAUUUUUUUCAUUUCGCAUCAUACUGGUAUACGUUUAUACCAAUAUUUAAAAAAAGAAUUAUUUUUUUAAAUAUUGGCACACUGAUGGUCGGCACACCUCUUUAUCAGAUUAAAAAAAUAUUUUUAUUGAGUGUUGGCACAUUGAUGACCAGCAUCCCAUUUAUCUGAUUAAAAAGAAAUUUAUGUUUAUCCCUAGACCAAUAGAAGCAUGAAAGUCUACUCAAAGGAUCAUGCAAGUGAGGGACCAACAAAAGUCAUCAAGUUGAAAUGGAAGGGGACGCUUUAGCAAUUAUAGGCUCGGAUGAAUUUAGGGAAUUAGGAUUUUGAGAAAGAAAUUAUGUUAUUAUAUAAUUAGUUGUUUUUUACAUGUAACAUAAAUUAGGCAAGGUUCUUAGCGUUUAUAAAAUUUGACAAUUUAAUCCUUAUUUUCUUUACAGUGAGAAUGUUAUAACCUUAAAAAAAAUCUGAAAUAUUGAGAUUCAAAUAAUUGAUAGGUUUAAAUGUUUUUAAAGACGAUUGGACGAAAUAAUUAGAUCUCAAAUUAUAUUUCGAAUUGAAAUUGUUCAUUUAAUACAUAAUAAUAGAAUGAAUUGUAAUUAAAGUAUUCCUCUACUAGGAAUGUAUAAAAGUCUAUUCAAGCCAAUUUAUGUGUCCGAAACUGAUGUACUCCCUUUAUAAGGUGUUCAAGCCAACGUAAGUGUUAAAUAUAGGUACUUAGGGAAAAUGGAUAGAGGUGAUCAUGGCCGGGCCAGGCCCAGAUAAAAUUUUAGGCCAAUUUUCUAGGCCCAACCCAAAAUAUGAGCCUAAAAAUUUGUCCAAGCCCUGCCUAAAAGAAAAUUAUUAAGCCCGAGCCCAGCCCGGCCCAUAUUAAAUUUUACAACACCAAAAUAGCAUCAAAAACCUGAAAAAUAUAAUCAAUCAACCAGAAUUAGAGGUAUAUUUGAUUAAAAAUAAAAAAUAUAUAUUUAAUAUACUUUGGGCCGGGCCGGGCCUGGGCCAAAAAAGUUUUGCCCGAGCCCGGUCCGUUUUUUAUACGGGACUAUUUUUUUGCCCAAACCCAUAUUUCGGGCCUAUAUUUUUACCCGAACCCUCCCUUUUUCAGGAGGGCCAUCAGGCCGAGCCGGAUAACUCAACCCAUGAUCACCUCUAAAAAUGAAUGAGUUGGUGUAAUAUAGGCUAUGAUAUAAUAGGCUAUGAUAUAACCAACAUUCAUGCAAAAUCGAGAAAGAAAUGAAUAAGAUUAUCGUAUGAAAAAUAAAAUAGAAAGGCUAAAAUCACAUGCAAAAUUUUUUCAAGCUCAAGUGUUCUAGCAUAAAAAAACAAUAUAUAAAAUAGAUGCCUAAACAAAGUAGAACACGGGUGAUUACAUCACAAUCUGCAAACAUUGAAUCAACGGGCAUUACCGAGCUUAGUGGAAGAAAAUGUUGGGAAAAUGAAAUACAGAUGCGAUCCUAAGCAACAAAUACAGCUUUGCAUUGCAUGAGAACCUAAUCCCAUCACCAAACUAUUUUAAAUGCGAUUUUCUACACGCAACACAGUGCAGGCAGCAUAUUUGAGAGCAAAAAACCUGACAAAAAGAAGUCAACAAUUUUAAUUUAUAAAAGAAUCAGAGGUUAAUUUUCGAUGUAAAAGAGAACAGACCUGAGCCAGAAAUAUUUGUAAAUAGCGACUUACUUAGUGACAUGCUUUUAACUGGAUCAUAAUGAAAGAUCACUUUUUUCUUCAUUUUCCUUGGAGGAUAAAUGUGAACCCAAGAAUUUAGUAACAGCAGAUUGCUCGGAUGAAGAAUGCGAUGAGCUUGAGAUAUAUUUUCUAGGUAACUUUAGUUUUAAGACGAAGAAGUGUGGUGUUAGAAUAGUGUAUGUGAAAGAUUUGGAAGAAAUAAAAGAGAUGCAUAGCCAUGCCACUCAUUAUUAUGCUAAUUUCGAAGAUAUCUAUCAACACUCUGCUGAUAGCGAUGGAUCAAUACAUAGUACUUCCCUUUCAGUACGAAAACAUAAUACCAACGAUUAAUUUUUACUCAAUUCGAAUAAUAAGAGUUCUCAACUUGAUUAAUUUUUUUUUACUCAAUUCGACUAGAUUCAAUUGAAUUCUCAUCCCUACGCAAGCAAAGGUUUUAUGAGCCGAGCAAUGUUAAGUCUAUAUGUGAUACUAGCACAUUUUAUAUUUACUCAAGCUAGGUUCAGUCCAAUACAAGCUUCAAAUUUUAUCAAGUCCAUCCAAAUUUGUAAAUGGUUAAUUUAAAUCCAUUUUAAGCUUGUUUAUAUAUUUUUUUUAAAAAUACUUAUUUAAUAUUUAAUAAUCUUAUUUUUUUUUUCUUUUACGAGAACUUUAAACAUCAACAACUGUUAAGACCAAGGCUGUCCAAGCAUUGAAGACUCAAUGUCUGAUCAGUCCAGAUGUUGGGACAGGUUUAGUGUUUUAUUGACUUAUUAGAAUUUUUUUGAACCUUGUACUUUUAUCCAAAUCUUCCCAUAUUUAGAUUGAGCCUUUAAGAUUAAACAAGUAAACUGACCCUUAAAUAAGUUUAUUUCCAAAUUAAUCAUAAUGUUGGAUUUUAACUUUGAGAUAUAACUCCACUGAGUAAAAAAAAAAGUGAACAAGUCACACAAAACUAUUGGUCAAAUGAUAAAAGAUUUGAUGCAAAGUCUUUAAUUAACACUAGUCUCGAGUAAAUGUACAAAAAAAUCAGGUCAGAUUUAAGCCUAUGUAAAGUAUUAGCAGAACUUAUGCUUGCUCAAAUAUUAAACACAAAAUAAUUCAAGUCACGUUUAUAUUUUAAAUGAGACUGUUUUUAUUUAAACCUUUUAAAAAAAAUUAAAUAUAUUUUAUAUGUAGAUCCAUAUAAUAUAUAAAAACAACUCCUAUAAAAGCAUUAGGGAAAUAAAUAGUACGAUAACAUAUUUUAUUCUGAGGCAUGUUUUAAAAACUAAAAAUUUUAUUAAGUGUUUUAAAAUUUGGCGAUUAAAUAUAACAUGGAAUGGUUGCAUUUUAAUUAAUCAAUAAAAAUAUGUAUAAAAUGAGAUUUGAAUCUUCGUCAAUUAGGUUAGUAAAACAUAAAAUUGAUCACUUCACCAAAGCUUUAUUUUAAUAUUUAUUACAUAUUUUAGUUUUAUUAUACACAUUUUAUUACUUUCAUCAAUCGUAUAUAUUUAUACUAUUAUUUAAUCUUCUAAUUAAGUUGGUGCCACAAGUAAAUUGGGCACCAACUCAAUUAGAAAAUUACAAAAAUGUCCUUUCAUAAUUAAAAUAAAUUAAAUUAUUUGAGAGUACUUUAGUCUUUUUACUUAAAAAAACAAUAAAAACAUGCUUAUGGUGGGAUUUGAUUUAAAGAUACGUUAAUUGCAUUAGUAAAAAUUUUAAUUUACCACUCAACUAAAAUUUUAUUUUGAUAUUCUUAUAUAUUUCAACUUUAUUAUCCAUACGUUAUUACUUCUAUCAAUUAUUUAAAUUUUUUAUUAAAAUUAUGUCAUGAAUCAAUCCAACAACCACACCAAGAAGCGAAAUGUGCUAAAGCAUAAUAGAAUUAUGGAUUUUGUUCAAAAGGAAUUUUAAUUAUUACAUUUGGGAUAUAAAAAAUUGAUAAUGAAUUUGCCAAGUACCCCAAAUUCAGUUUUCUUUUUCCAUUUGAUGCACAAACAAAAACUCUGAAUUUGCACAUAUAAAUCCAAAUUAUUUUAUUCAAAUUCAUGUUCAGAAAAGUCGUGAUAUUAUUGUGGAAUAUUCAAUGAACCUUAGCAACAAAAAUUGAAUUCCACAGUGACUUCGUUUUCAGUGGAAAAUUCAAACAUACUAUCUAUAAUGGCCUUUCCACAAUAUAAAUGAGAUUAGAUAGAAUUCAAAAUAUAAACUUAACCUUGUUUGCCAACAUGAUAUACUUCUCCAUUUCAAAGUCUUCCCAGUCUUCGUGAUAGAAAUUAUUAAUUAAAUUAUGGGUAAAUUUUUGCGUACGUUGUUAUUGAACAAAACCCCAUUCGAUACUUGUUAUAUCAAACGGUUCAUGAUCCAAUCUAAAUUUUAAAGUUGAAAUAUUAUUUCCAAUAAAAUUCGUAAAAACAUAAGAUUGGAGAAAAUAUUCAGAAAAUGAUUUUUGAAAUUGAAUUAUCUGUUGGUUACAGAUAGUUCUAUUGAUUUUGUUGAAUAUUUCUACUGGUAAAAUCUGUUUAGAUUUGUUAUAUAAACAAAUUCUAAAUAUUUUAUUCAUAAUAGGGGUAUUUUUCCCUUUGUAAAUAAAAUAUUGGAAAAUAUCAAGAAAAUUGUUUAUCUCCUUAAUUUCCAUGAAUUCCAUUUGGAAUUCAUCCCAUUCUCUGUAUAAAAUAGAAUUUAAUAAUAAAUCUUUAGCUUCAUUUUCCUUAGUUGUUUUUUCAACUAAAAAUAAUGAAAAUCUGGUAAGAGCUCUUCGGAAAUUAGCUCUCUGAUUUGAAAUAUGGGUUUUCCAUAUCUCGUUUAUAAAAUCAUAAAAUUCUGGUGAUAAACCAGGAUUAUAAAAAUCUUUUAUUUUUAAAAUUUCUUUUUCAUCUUCUAUUUGUUGUUCUUUCAACAAAUUUUCGGAUCUUUUGAUCAUAUCAGCAUAAUUGGUUUGUGAUGCUAAAUAUGGAUCUUGGGACAUUGGUGAUUGAUACACCAUGUUAGAAAAACUGCUUCCAAGUGGUUGGUUUACCAUUGGAUAUUUUAAAACAUUUGGUCCAAGUGGUUGAUUUACCAUUGGAUAAGACACAUAAUAUCCUUGGUUAGGAUAAAAUGGUAUUUGUGCAGGUACAAAUCCUUUUUUGGAGUUUGAUUCUGCUUUUCCUUUGUUGGGCUUUUUGCGAACGGUAGUCGAUUCACCUACAGUUUCUUGUAGAGGCUUUUUACCUCUAUCCAUUAAAAGGCCUGCUCAAAAAAUCAGCAAAUAUUAGUAAUAAAUUACAAAUAUUAACUGAUUAAUUUUAAUAGGUGUAAAUAUUUUAUUACACACAAUUUUAUUAUUUUCUUCAAGUGGAAUUUCCACAAAAUCUUCUUUUACUGAUAGCCAAAUAGAAUGUUUAUCAAUAGUAAAAGGUAAGUACUUACAAAUAAAAUUAUUACCUAAUAAUAUAUCUCCUUUCAUGUUAGGAAAACAUACUAUUUUAGGAAUCACAAAUCUAACAUUGUUUAUAUAGAUUGAUAUAUUUUUAGCUUUAUAUUUUAUAAUAGUUUUACUACCUUCUAUUCCCAUUAUUUUUAUGGGUUUCUUCAUUAAUUCGCAUUUUUCUACAGGAAUCGCAUUUUCUCUACAACUACAUAUUGUAGCUCCAGUAUCUAUCAAGGCAUUUAGAGAAUAUUUUUUAUAUUUUUUAAACUGAAAUGUAACUUUUAUAAUUAUUCCAAGUUUUGACUUUUUAUCAAUUGUUGAAGUUUGAAUUUCUUCCAUUCUAGUUUUUCUAGAAUUAUUACUAGGUUCAGUAGGAAAUAUAGGAAUUUGAACUGUAACAGGUUUCCACCCUGCAAUUAAAGACAUUUCAAAGUCUUCCCAGUCUACGUGAUAGAAAUUAUUAAUUAAAUUAUGGGUAAAUUUUUGCCUACAUUGUUAUUGAACUAUAAAUUAAUUUUUAUUCAAGGUAUUAGAUUGUUAAGUUUUUCCUUUUUAAAGUUCCACCAAUAAGUUUCAAGUGACAAUUCGAUAAUCGGUAUGAUAGAUGAACACUCAUCAACGAGUAAAAUAACACACCUUAUAUUUAAAUCGGUCUAAUAGUCAGUGUCGAAGAUCGAAGAAAAAAUUUUGUUUGAAUUUUGGUUUACAGAUUCAUGUCCAAAGUUGUUUCAUAAAAAAAAAUUGAAUUAUGUAAGAGAAGGGGAAAGAAAACUUUCGAUUGGUGUUAAUAGUGUGAAUAGAGAAAGUCAUAUAGCAUUGAUUUUAAUACCAAUGAAUUAAAAGAGAACUUUUAAAUAGUUCAAUGACCAAAUUGUAAUUUUUUUAGUUAAGUGACCAAAAAGAAAACUUACCCAUAAUUUAGUGACUAAUGAUAUAGUUUACCUAAAAUUUUCAUGGUAGGAAAUACGAAAAUUUUCAAAAUUUCUCCACUUUUAUUUCAUUUAGAACACAUGGUCUCUCUCACUAUAAGAUAAGAAACCUAAACUUCAAAAAAAAAUUUAUUUAAUUCUAAUAUGUAUUUUAAAAUUUAUUUUAUUAAAACCAUUAAUAGUUUUUUUUCUAAAAAUACAAUGAUAUUCAUAAUUAAUAUUUUAUAUUAUUUAUUUUUAAUAUAAUUAUUCUUUUUUAUAAUUAAUUUUUUAAACUAUAAAAUGCUAGCAACUAACUUUUUUUCUAAAUAAAUUAUUUAUCCAAACAAAAUAUUUACGAAUACUACCAUUUUGAAUUUAUAUGAAUUCUAAAAUGCUAGCAUUUUAAAUAUAUAAAAAAUUUAAUAUUCUUCAUCCAAAUACACUUUAAAUAUUUUAAUAAAAAAACACAAGUUCAUCUUGACCUAUUGGAUUUUAAAAAUAAAACUAAAUAUUAUAUAAAACUUGAAAUAUAAAAAUUAAUAAAUUCAAAAAAUUAAUUAUCCAUUUCAAAAAAUAUAUAAAAAAUGAAAAUUAUUACAAAAUUUAAAUGUUUCAGAAAAAUACAAUAAAUUAUAAAUAUUUGAAAAAUUAUUAAAAGUUUAAAAAUGUUAAAAUAAAAAUACAUGCAAUAGUAAUAAAAUGCUCUAAAAAAUUAAAACAAUUAUAAAAAGUAAAUAAAAAUUUCAAAAUUUUGAAAAUCACAAAAAAACUGUAUAAAACCCUAUUAGCAUGGUCGGCCACACUAUGCUACUUAUGAUGCUUAAAUAUAUACAAAAUCCUAGUAGCAUUAACUUAUUGUAAACAGUGGGGUACAAACCCUACUACUCUAUUUGGAAGCCUUUAAAACUUUAUUUAAUUUUACAAUCAUAAUUCUUAAUGAAAAACCCUAUAUUUUUCCACUUCACCUACCGUGAGAAACAAAUGCUUAUGUAAUUGUUAAUGAAGGAACGAUGUUUCUCUUCGGCUAGUGUCAACUCAUUAGGAGUGUCCACUUCAUUUGAUCCUGCUGGGAAUUCUCCGGCUUUGAUAACAGAGCUCAAGUCAUCGGGCAAUGAAGCAACACCGUCCAAAUACGAUAUAACGCUGGACAUGCUAGGCCUAGCCGCUGCCACCGGGUAUGAGCAAAGCAACCCAAGCUUCAACACCAACUCCGCUUGUUGUUCCACAAAUCUCUUCUCCAAACUCUUAUCAAUAGUCGCCAAAAUGUCUCCUUUAUCCCAGCAAUCCUUUAUCCAGUCAGCAAGAAAUGCUUCCUCUGGUGGCGCUCGUGGUUCGAUCGGCUUUCCACCACAUGCAACUUCAAGCAUGAAUGCUCCAAAUGCAUAUAUAUAUAUAUAUAUAUAUAUAUAUAUAUAUAUAUAUAUAUAUAUAUANNNNNNNNNNNNNNNNNNNNNNNNNNNNNNNNNNNNNNNNNNNNNNNNNNNNNNNNNNNNNNNNNNNNNNNNNNNNNNNNNNNNNNNNNNNNNNNNNNNNCCUGCUACGUACAUGCGAGCCAUGAACAUUCAUCAUGUUCUCUUGGCUUGCAUAUUGAAAUGCAAAAUUUAGAAACGUCUGUACUCCAUUUCGAUAACCGUUGCUUACCCUUGACAAAUUCAUCCAAGACCGGUCCAUUUCUUAAUUAUUGAAGUCUGACCUUGACAAUAAUUUGCACGGGUAAGUUAAAACGCCAGAUAUAACUAUAAAUGAGUUAUGUAAGUUAUGAUAUGAUAUAUUUUUAUGUAUUAUGUACUAAGUUAUGUAAGUUGUGUAUUAUGUGAGUUAUGUGAGUUAUGUAAGUUAUUUAAUAUAUGUAAGUUAUGUAAGUUAUGUAGGCUAUGUAUUAUCUAAAUAAUGUAAGUUAGGGAGGUUAUGUAUUAUGUAAGUUAUUUAAGUUAUGUAAGUUAUUUAAUUUAUGUAAGUUAUGUAAGUUAUGUAAGUUAUGUAAGUUAUUUAAUUUAUGUAAGUUAUUUAGAAAAAAUUAUGUAAGUUAUGUACUAAGUUAUGUAUUAUGUAAAUAAUGUAAGUUAGGAAGGUUAUUUAAGUUAUGUAUUAUGUAAGUUUAUAUAUAAGUUAUGAUAUAUAUUAUUGAUAAAUUUAAGUUAUAUAUUGUAUGUUAUUUAAGUUAUGUAUUAUGUAAGUUUAUAUAUAAGUUAUGAUAUAUAUUAUUGAUAAAUUUGAGUUAUGUAAGUUUUGAUAUGAUCGAUAAAUUUUGAAAAAAUUAUAGAUUUUAAAAAUAUAUAUAUUAAAAAUGUACAUACCAAUAUUUAUAAGUUAUGUAGGUUAUAUAUUUAAAAAUUUGGUUAUAUAAAUAUUUAUAAUUGUUUUUAAAAUUUAAAAAUUGUUUACUAAUAAAUUUGAAAUAUAGGUUAUAUAUCCAAUUUACAUUUAUUCGAUAAAUUAUAAUAUUUAUUAUUAAUAAAAUUGGAAUAUAGGUUAUAUGUUAUAUAUUAAUAUAUAUUAAUAAAAUUAUAUGUCCAUAUUAAUAUAUGUUAUAUAUUAAAAAGAUUUUGUCUUAUAAUAUAUGAGUAAUAUUUGUGUCCCAAAUUGAUUGUGUUUUCUGCACGAAAGGUUGCGUACAUGGUUCAAAUUCAAGUAAAGGAAAAUAUUUUCAGCAAAGAAAACCGAACACAUGAAGUACAAUUUGAGAUUUAAGCAAAGACUAAAUUCAGUAUCCGUACAUGGUUGAUUUAGCAGCAAAAAACAAUAAAAUGUACCAUCUUAGCAGCAAAAACAGAUGAGACAUUUAAAUUAUGUUUUGUAAACUUAUGAAUUAUUUAAUCAUUUGAAAUAUAUAAUUACAACGAACAAAAAUCAAAUCUGAACAUGAAACAAAUUUACAUGAACUAAAAACUUUAAAUCAAUUCAGUUCACAAUUGCAAUUAUAUUUGAUUUCAAUUUGGAUCUUUACAAACCAUGAGAAUACUGUAUAAUAUUUGCAAUUAUAUUCCAUAACCGAAAUUAAUUCAAACACUUAGGAGAAAGAUGGAGCAAAAAACAUCUUGAAGACCAGAACAAUAACCAGAAAUAAAUACAAUAAGCAACAACAUUAACCACAACGUGCAGCAAAAAAAGAACUUGCAACAACAUUAACCCCUAACAUUAACCAGCAACAUUAAGCAGAACUUCCAGCAAAAAAGAACUUGCAGCAGCAUUAACCAAAUACCAAAUUAAAACAGUCCCAACUACAAAUAUAUCAAAUAUAAAAACAGGCCAAAAUCACAUGUAAAUUUAUAAAACGAAAAAACAAAUAAAAUAAAGGAUAAACUAACCUUCUGGUUGUAACAACCCUAUACCAGUCUAAUCGUACAGAUCCAGUAUAAGGCUAUUACAUUUGGUGCCAAAACAGUCAUAGCUAGAUAUUGUUUAAUUAAAUCAAUUAUACAUAGUACUUUAACUUACCAACCAUAUUUGCAAACAUACGUAUAGUUUCACUAAUCCAUUUCAUAUAUAUAUACCAAAAUAUUUCAAGUACCUCAAAUUAGAUAGAAAUUCAAGAGUUUACAUUUUAGUUCCUAAUAUGUGGAAAUAUAACUGACUGCCUAUGUACAUGCCAUUUUAAUUCAAAAUAUGGUACCUACUUUUGAAACUCUUGAGGAUGUGAUGAGAUGAGAGAUCUUCUAUCCUGACUUUAUCUCUUCAAGUCAAACUGUACCUACGCGUUAAAAUUAAACGCGUUAAGCCGGUGAAGACUUAGUAAGCACUACAAGAAUAAACAAAUAAAUAAAUGUAAAUAAAAUAUUUCGAACUCAUUCUGUUGUUGCGUAUUUACGUACGUAUAAGCUUCAUAAAACUUACCUUAGCAUAUUAAUGAUUCGCUUUUAUCCACAAAUCAUAAUCUUAGCCCAAAAUAGAUUUUCAUAGAACACACCGGAUAUACGGAACAAAUACAGAGGUGCAUUAUUAUGCACUAAUGAACAGAGAGCACUAAAGUGCUAUACAGAGAGCACAGAUGUGCUAAACAGAGAGCACUGACGUGCUAAAUAUCAGAGAGCACCAACGUGCUAAUAGUCAGAGAGCACUAACGUGCUAAUAAUCAGAGAGCACUAACGUGCUAAUAAUCAGAGAGCGCGCUAAAGUUCCUUAAUGGCAUGCCACUAAUAUCCUGGUAGUUCUAAAUUCCAUCUACUUGGGCACUAAAACUGAAUCUCAUUCAUUUAAAUACUUUAUAGAAUUAUUUUGAAAAAGAUUUCUCAUUUCUCCAUCAUUACAAUUCAAUGCUUAUUUCACAAUUCACAAUUAUCACACCAUUUUCACACACACACACACAUAUAUAUACACUUUUGUCACAACAUUACUUAUUGUUCAAACAUUAUACCAUCUUAUAUUUUCCAUAUAUAAUUUUUCUUUACAAAUUUCAUAGUUCCAUAAUCUUUUAUUUUACUUUAUUUUAUUUUAUUUCUAAAUAGUUCUAUACUAUAAUAUAGGCAUUUAAAAUAAAUAAUUUCUAAAAAAAAUAAUCUUGUAGUACUUACAACAAAAAGGUUGAGAUGAUGUCUUCCUUCACUCCUUAGCCUUCUCUUUUCCUUUUUCUUCAAUAAGGUCCUUUCCUUUCCUUUCUUUCUCUUCAAUUUCAUAUAAAACACAUAAUAUUUAUAUAUUAGAAAAACAAUCAAAUAACUUUCCUAUAUCAUUUAAUAAAAAUAAACAUAUAUGAUAUAAUAAUUUCAUAAUUUCUUACCUUAGCUAAUAUUUCAAUUUAAUUCAUAACUAAAAUUAUUUCUAUUUCUAUCACAACCUAUACCUUAUUUCUACUUAAAUUCAACUUACACCUUAACUUAACUCUCAAAUUUUCACUAAUAAACCUUAAUUUCGAAUUUCUUACAAUUUUACAUUAAACUUAUAACUUAUUUCUCAAUUUCAUCCUUUUCCCAAUCCUAGUUUGAAUUUCCAUCAAUUCAACCUCUAAUUCAUCCACUAAUUCAAUAUAAACUACAUAAAAAAAUUCUACUAACUUUCAAAAUUUCAACAUAUACCUACUAGUAUUUUGAUCUAGAAUCAUAAAAACUCAAAAAUUUCAAGAAAAUGACUUAAUUUGACUUACCGAUUUGAAAUUGAACCUUAAAACCCUAAAUUCCUUCUUUACUUUUUCUUUCUUUCUUUCUCCCCUGUUUCUCCCCUGUUUCGUUUCAAAUGCUAUUCUGUUUCUUUCUCUUUAUUUCUUUUCUUUUGUUUUAUAUAUAUUUAUAUAAUAAUAUAAUAUUAUAAUAAUAUAAUAUAAUAACUUACUUAUUAAUUAAAUAACAUAAUAUAUAAUAUAUAUAUUUAAAUAAAAAAAAUAUCUUAGAUAUUUCAUUUGUUAUGCCGCCUCAAUUUUAGAAAAAGGCAUAAUUGCCUAUUUGGUCCUUUUAACUUUCUUUAAUUUAUAAUUAAACUUUCACACUUAUUUCAAUCUAAUCCCUUUUUCCUAAUUACUUCUAAUUAAAUCAAUUUCACCUAGUCAAAACAUAAUUAGACACACAACUAACUUCGUAAAUAUUUAUAAUAAAUAUUUACGAAUCCGAUUUACCGGAACGGAGUCCCGGAAAUGCAUUUUUUUAUUUAAUCUAUUUAAAUAAAUUUUACCAUAUAAUCAAUAAAAUUUUAUUAUCAAAAUUUUCAUGCAACCUUCCUAUCAUAAUAUAGACCAUACCACAAUAUUAAAAUAAAUUUUCUUUCUAGCUCGGAUUUGUGGUUACGAAACCACUAUUCCGAUUUACUGAAAAUGGGUCAUUACACUAGUUAUCUACCCUUUCUAUGUAUUGCUUCAAACCAGUGACAGGUAGCAAAUUUGCAGACUAGAUUGCUAAAACUAAAUUGCUGCAACCAAAGGAAAGAAAAAAUUAACUAAGAAAAAACUAAACUUGUUCAACUUCAUCACUAAAACAAAUUUACAUGAACUUAAGUGAAUAAUCAAUUGUCAAAUUAUCUAAAUCAAAAUAUUAAAAUAGCGUAUUUUAUAUAUAAAAUUUUCUUAAAUUUUAUACUGAUUAAACCUAAAUAGAAAGACAAAACAAACGUCCUGACUCCUUUAAACAAAAAUAAUUAGAAAUAAAAAACAAGGUUUAGAAUAUGCUGCAAAAUUGUUUUUAAUUUCGAAAUUAACUUUAACCACAAACAAAUUAAAAAUAUAUAUCAAUACAAAAAUUACUUAGGAAUUCGAAAGCAUACAAGUUAUUGUCAAAAUGUAAGACAGUUACUGCCUAAAACCCUAAACAAAAUAAAUUGGUAAAGCUAAAAUUAAGAGAAAAGAAUUUCAUACCUUUACGAAGACGGAGAGAAAGUAAAUCGGACAGGAUGUGAUUCCACAAUACUCAAAAAUGAGAUUGUUUUAUGAGCUUCGGAAACCCUUAAACCAUGGACGAAAUGGAAUGUUAACAAUAUUGAACCCUAAACAUGAAAAAUAAGAGGGAAAUCAAACCGGUUCGUGCUUACCCAAAAAACUAUUCCACUGUUCGUCUUCCUCUAAAUGCUGUGAAGAAUUAAACGCACUAAACCGACUAAAUGAAGAACCGAAUAAAGUAAAAGACUCCAUGAAUGUCUGGAAUUAGGGAAGUGGAGGAGAUUUCGAAAGGAAAAUAGGGAUUUGGAAGGGGAAGGGGAAGGAAACCGAGUUUAGGGGCUGCGUACGGGUUUUAGGGUUCGAAAGGGGAAAUAUGUGACGCCAAGCAGAGCGACGACGUUCAGAAUAUCUGAACUGUUCCUCAAAUGAAACGGCGACGUUCUGAACAUUUUGUAAUACACAGUUGCGGCGUUUUCAGAAAAAAUGCCGCUAAAGCUUACAAUUUGCGGCGUUUUAAAUAAAAACGCCACUAAAGAGUUAAAACCAUUUAAGAAAACGACGCCGUUUUCAUACACACAAUAAUUUAUGGAUUUGCGAUGUUUUUAUAAAAAACGCCACUAUCGUAUACCUACAGUGGCGUUUUUCAUAAAAACACCACUAAAAAUCAAAUUCAUGUAUCCAAACAGCACCAUUUUACAUAAUUUUAAACACAUUUUUGCGGCGUUUCUGGCCCAAACGCCACUACUGUAAAAAAUUUCCAAGUAUUUAAUAAUUUAAAAAAUUUAAAAUAUCAUACAACAAUAUGACAAUAUUAUUUUUAAUUCUAUUAAAUGGGAAAUUUGAUUUUUAGUGAUGGUAUUUUUCUUAAAAUUUAAGGUAGGAACUUAAUCCGUAUAUAGUGUUUGUAUUUUUCUAAAACUUCAAUUUAAAAAUUUAAUUCGGUGAAGUCAGGUUGUAUUUUUCAAAAAUACUAAAUAACCUAAACCCUAAAUCACAACCCCUAUAUAUCCUGAAAACCAUCAACCGUAAACUUUUUACCCUAAACCCUUAAACCCUAAACCCUUAACCCUUAACCCUUAAUCCUAAACCCUUAACCCUAAAUUGAUAUAGACCCUCUUAUCCCUUAAACCCUAAAUCUUAAACCUAUAAAUCAUAAACCAUGACCCUUAACCCCUAACACCUACACCCUAAGCCCCAACCUCAAAUGAUAAACCACAAACCAUAAUACGUAACCCUUAACCAUAUCCCCUAAACCUUCAAUCAUAUAACAUUAACUAUAAACCCCUAACCCUUAACCCUAAACACUUCAACCUUAGACCCCAACUAUUGCACCAUAAUCCCUAAACCCCUAACUCAACCAUAUUCCUUAAACCCUGAAUCAUAGAACAUAUAUAAACCCUAAAUCUUAAACCCUAAAUCAUAAAACAUUUAUAAACUAUAAACCUUAAACCUCAACCCUUAAAUAAUAAACAAUAAACAAUAAACCGUAAGGCCUAAAUCCAUAAUCCCUAAACCGCCAAUGUGUUGAAAGCUCAACAAAAAAAAAUAUUGUUUUGCUUAACGAUUUUGCGGCGUUUUUCUAAACGCGCCACUAAUGUCUCUAAACCUCCACAAGAAAACGACAACGUUUUGCUUAAAUAUUUUUGAGGCGCUUAACAUAAAGCGCCACUAAUGCUUGACUUCUACGGCGUUUUUAAAGCUGCGCCGCUAGUGUACCUAAACCUUAACAACAAAACGGUGCCGUUUGCAUAGCAAUUCUUGCGGCGUUAGCGUAAAACCGCCGCUAAUUAUUGAAUUUUGCGGCGUUUUAGCAAGGCGCCACUAAUAUCUCUAAAAGUAAACGUUGCGUUUUGGAUAAGAUCUUCGUGGCAUUUUCGCGUAAGCGCCACUAAUUCUAGUAUACAUCAAGACCAAACUCUGUGUUUUGGUUAAGAUACUUUGCGGCGCUUUUCACCAAAUGCCGCUAAUACUAUGCUUUAGCGGCAUUUCCCUUAAGCGCCACUAAUGCUAGUAUACAUAAAGACUAACACGCUGCGUUUUGGUUAAGAUACUUUGCGGUGCUUUACAAUAAGCGCCACUAAUUCUAGUGUACCUCAAGACCGAACUCCGCGUAUUGGUUAAGAUAUGUUGCGGCGCUUUUCAAAGCACGCCGCUAAUACUGUACUUUAGUGGCGUUUUGUCGUCGACGCCACUAAUUCUAGUAUACAUCAAGACUAAAACGCUGCGUUUUGGUUAAGGUAUUUUGCGGCGCUUCCCACUACACGCCGCUAAGACUAUGCUUUAGCGGCGUUUUGUCAUAAACGCCACUAAUUCUAAUAUACAUCAAGAUUAAAACGAUGCGUUUUCGUUAAGAUUGUUUGCGGCGCUUUUCACCGAGCGCCGCUAAUACUUGCUUUAGUGGCGUUUUGUCAUAAACGCCACUAAUUCUAAUAUACAUCAAGAUCAAAACGAUGCGUUUUCGUUAAGAUUGUUUGCGGCGCUUUUAACCGAGCACCGCUAAUACUUGCUUUAGUGGCGUAUUCCAAUAAUCGCCACUAAUUUUGGUAUACAUCAAGACCAAAACGCUGUGUUUUGGUUAAGAGAUUUUGCGGCGCUUGAAGGUAACGGUCAAAAAAAUGAUUGUUGCACUGUUCACGCACGGGGCAAAUCGCGUCCCCAAGAGCGCGCUACACAUCAGCAAAUCGUGUCCACGUCAGCGCGCUUUGCUUACGUGGAUGCGAUUUGCUGAUACGUUUCCUGACUUCGCGCUGACGUGGACGCGAUUUAGGGGAAAGGGCCCAUUCUGGUAAAUAAUGGAAUACCGUGCCCAUUUCGGUAAAUUUAAAAAAAUUAGGCUUUUAAUGGUAAAUUGUCCUAACAUAUCAUCAUUUAAUUAAUUUUUUAAAAUUUAAAAAAAUAAAAAAAUAUUUAAAAAUUAAUUAAAUACUGACAUGUUAUUCACAUGGGAAUCUACAUAUAUACUACAUCAGCAAAGUGAAUAAAUAUUAAUUUUCCUAUUUAUUUUAAAGUGAUUUGACAAAAAAUUUAAAGUAAAACACAAACUUAAGAACAGUUGCAAUUAUUGUAGGCUCCAUUUUAUCAACACCCACCUUGUUGGAUUCAUAUGCAUCACUCAUUUAUGGCCCCCCAAUUUCCACAACUACGCGCAUUCAUUUGGAAAGUGAAAAGGUUAUAGAGAAAUUGCUUAGAAACCACCUUUAUUCUUCCCUGGAAAUUUGAUCUGUUUCUAGUUUCUUUCAGACGUAUUGAGCUAUCAGUUUUCUGAUUUUCAACACUACAUCCACAUUUUUUUUUUCUCGCACAUCGUCAUGUCGUCAUUACCUUCAACUUCUUCGUCCAAUUCUAGAAAGAAAUAUGAUGUUUUCUUGAGUUUUAGAGGUGAAGAUACCCGCACCAACUUUACCGAUCAUCUCUAUGAUGCUUUAAGUAGGAGUGGGAUCGUCACUUUCAGGGAUGAUCCAAAGCUGGAGGCCGGCGAAGAGAUCGCGCCAGAACUCUUUACAGCAAUUCAGCAAUCAUGGUGUUCGGUAAUCGUUUUUUCACAAACUUAUGCCUUUUCAAGUUGGUGCUUGGAGGAGCUUGCUGAGAUUGUUAAACAACAUAACAACGACGGUCAUAAAGUGUUUCCAAUUUUUUACGAUGUUGAUCCAUCUGAUUUAAGAAAACGAAAAGAGAAAGUGGAAGAAGUCUUUGCUAGACAUAAAGAUAGUGAGAAGAUCCAAAGGUGGCGAAAUGCUUUAAUUCAAGUGGCUGGAAUCAAGGGAUGGUAUUUAAAUAACAGGUAACUCUUUCUUUUCUUCUCUCUAUUUUCUAUUUUUUGGGAUAUAUAUGUAUAACUUUGUUUUUUUCUUUCUAAUCCUAUGUGUUUAAUUGAAAAAUGUCUUGGUUCUUGUUUGCUUCCAAACUAUAUUAUGUUUCAUGAUUCAUUGAAAAAGAAAGUGCAUUUGAUAAUAUGAAAAAAAAAAAUUAUUCAAAAGAUUAAAAUUUAUUUUCUUGUAGGCAUGAAUCAGAAUUUAUUAGAGAGAUUAUUAAGAAGAUAUCAGCAAAACUAUGUCACCCAGUUACUCAUAGUGACUUGGUUGGAAUGACUGAACGCUUGGAGGAUUUAUAUUUGAAAAUAAACAUUGGGGAAAAUGAUGUCCGCAUUAUAGGGAUUUGCGGAAUGGGUGGUAUCGGUAAAACAACACUCGCAAGACUUGCUUAUAAUCAAAUGUCACGUCAUUUUGAAAGUAAAAGCUUUAUUGCUGAUAUUCGAGAAGUUUCAGACAGAUGUGGAUUAGUUUCUUUACAGAAACAACUUCUUUCUGAGAUUUUUCAUGAUGAAUGCUUCAAAUUUUUCAAUGUUCAUGAAGGGAACGAUAUAAUUAGUCAUAUGUUGUCUCGCAAAAAGGUUCUUGUUGUUCUUGAUGAUGUUGAUAACAUACAACACUUAAAAUGCUUGGUUGGAAGGCACGAUUGGUUCGGAUUAGGGAGUAGAAUCAUUGUAACAACAAGAGAAGAACAUUUGCUUCGAUCUUGGCCAGUUAAUGAUAUGUAUGAGCCCACAACAUUGAAUCCCAAAGAUGCGCUUCAGCUUUUCAGUCUGAAAGCUUUUCAUAGUGAUACAGUGCCGAAAGAUGAUUUCAUUGAGCUUUCUUACCAUGUUGUAAAAUAUGCUGGUGGGCUGCCGUUAGCUCUUGAAAUUUUGGGUUGCUUUUUAUGCGGUAGAGAUGCUACUCAAUGGAGAAGUGCAAUUGAAAGACUUAAAAGAGAUUCUAACAAAGAAAUUCUUGAUAAACUUCGAAUCAGUUUUGAUGGAUUGGAAGAAAGGGAGAAGAAUAUAUUUCUAGAUAUAGCAUGCUUCUUCAAUGGGGAGGAGAAAGAUUGUGUAAAGAAAGUAUUGGAUGGUUGUGAGUUNNNNNNNNNNNNNNNNNNNNNNNNNNNNNNNNNNNNNNNNNNNNNNNNNNNNNNNNNNNNNNNNNNNNNNNNNNNNNNNNNNNNNNNNNNNNNNNNNNNNUGUUCUCAUUAAAAAAUCUCUCAUAAAAGUCGAUGAACACAAAUAUUUGUGGAUGCAUAACUUGUUGCAAGAAAUGGGAAGAAAAAUUGUUAGAGAAAAAUGUGUUGAUAAACCUGGAAAACGUUGCAGAUUAUGGGAGGAAAGAGACGUCUAUCAUGUCCUAACAAAAAACACUGUAAGUCAUUUAACAAAAGUUACAUACUAUUUCUAUUUUGUUAUAUAAUAUCAAAUCAAUAUAUGAUAUAAACCCAAAGCUUAGUCUAAUUGGUUGAUACAACUAUUCUUAAAAAGUGAUCUUUAGUAAUUUUGAGAUUACAAAUAUUAAAAAGGAUUUGUAGAAAUAAAUAUUUAAUUUCAUUGCAUUACCCUCUUUAGAGCAUAAUAUUUGUAGAAAUUGUUUUAUUUAAAUUUAAAAUGCUUUAUUUAUUAUAAUUAGAAUAUAAUAAUGCUAAAAAAAAGUAAGUUUUUAAAAGUUUUAUCCUACAUUAUACACCAUUUAAUUUAAUUUAUUUUCUAUUUUUGAUUUUUCUUAGGGUACAAAAAUAAUUGAAGGUAUAAUCAUCGAUAAUAAAAGGUAAGAAAACAUAAACUUAUAUUUACGUGUAAUAUGAUAAAAAAAUAUAGCAAAACCUUUGACACCCAAUAUUUCAAUGUUUAAUUAAAAAAUUUAUCUACUAGCGUAUUACUCUUCCAAAAGAUUCAAUAGAGAAAUGUAUGUCUUUUUGAAAUAUUAAUAGUAUAUCAAUGAAAUAGACUAUAACAUAACUUUUAGAUAUUGAAUGUUUUAGUAUAUUUUGAAGCUCAUUUUUGCUUUGCUCACUUAUAUUAGGGAAUCGGGCAAGAUGCUCAACUUGAGUGUCGAUGCCUUCUCAAAAAUGAAAAAAUUGAGAUUGCUCAAAGUGCUUUGCCUAUUAAAUUGUGAUGAUCUCAAAUUUCUUUCUAAUGAGCUACGGCUUUUAGAUUGGAAAGGAUGCCCUUUAAGAUCGUUACCUUCAAGCUUUCAACCGGACAACCUUGUUGCACUUCUUUUAUCAUAUAGUCGCAUUCAACAACUAUGGAAGGGAAACAGAGUAAGAAUUAACUCAUGUCAUCCUUGAAUUUUAGCUUAUUUUAAUAUAAAUGAUUAAACUUUGAUUAAGAUAAAAAAAACAAAAAUAAGCAUUAUUAUGUUUUCUCAUUUGUUUCUAAUUUAUUGUGAUCUUCAACAGCCCUUGUGUAAGCUGAAAAUGAUGAACCUUGAAGGGUCCCAAAACCUGAUCAAGACACCAGAUUUCACAACGGCAUCAAAUCUUGAAGUUCUAAUAUUGAAAGGUUGUACCAAAUUAGUGGAUAUUCAUCCAUCAAUCGCAGUACUUAAGAGCCUUCAAGUUUUGAAUUUAAGAGAUUGCAAAAGUCUUAGUAGUCUUCCGACCAUAACUGGAAUGGAAUCUCUUGAAACAUUAAUUCUUUCGGGUUGCUCAAGUCUUGUAAGGUUUCCGGAGAUUGAUGGGAAAAUGGAACGUCUAAAAACUCUAGAUCUUUCCGGUUGUUAUAGAGUUGAAAAUUUAUCAGAGAAUUUGCAGCAUGCAAAGUUUUUGGAAGAGCUCGACUUGAGAGAAACAGCCAUAACAGAACUACCAUCCUUCAUUUUUCAAUUUAAAAAUCUUAAAGUUCUGUCUUUCAAUGGAUUCAAAAGAGGAAGAAAAAAUUCCAUGGCUCCGAUGUUACCUUCAUUGUCAGGUUUGAGUUCAUUAAGAGAGUUGAAUCUAAGGGACUGCAAUCUUUGUGAAGGAGAUAUUCCACGUGAUAUUUCUGGUCUAUCCUCUUUGGAAGAACUUAAUCUUAGUGGUAACAAUUUCACCAGCAUACCUGCAUCUCUUACUCGACUCUCCAAGCUUGAAGAGCUUAUAUUGUCAAAUUGCAACAUGUGCACUCUUGGUGAAGUAGAUAUUCAUGGUCUAUCCUCUUUGGAACGGCUUUUUCUUAACGGUAACAAUUUCAUCACCGUUCCUUUGGCUCUGGCUCAACUUUCCAAGCUUAAAUUGCUUGGAUUAUCAAAUUGCAUGAAGCUUAACUCGUUGCCUGAGCUACCAACAAGUAUAGAAGAAGUGUGGCUAGAUGGUUGUUCUUCACUUGAAGUAGUUGCAAGUCCAUCAAAAGUAUGCAAGUUAGUGGAUUCGGCUGCUAUUAUAGCCUUUAACUGCUUCAAAUUGGCUGAGAAUAUCAACGCAUUAACACUGCUGAGAAAACAUCUUAAGGUCGAUUAAUCUCUCUUUUUCUCCCUUACAAAAUCUCAUACUUGAGAAUUUAUGGUUUUAGUUAUCAAACGACUUAUGUUUUAUUUUGCAGGCAUUUGCAAAUUCAAGAAAAAUGUUUGAUAUUAUCAUGCCAGGAAGUGAAAUCGCAGAAUGGUUUAGCCAACAAAAAGGUGACUUCUUUAUUAAGAUUCCCUUACCUAUCAACCUUCAAGAGGAUAGUGAAUGGAUUGGAGUUGCUUGUUGCUGCAUUUUUGUCAAUAGUGAUGCUUCAAGGGAUGCGGGCUUUAUCGACUGUCGAGCGUUAAUGUAUGGUAGAAAUCAUCGACGGAUUGAGGGUGGAGGCUAUUUGGUGGGUAAACGAUUCAACAUGCCCAUAAUGAAAGAUCACAUUUUUCUUCGUUAUUGGUCGCGUGAUAAAUUAUAUCCAUUUUCCUUGAAGGAUAAAUAUGGUGGCUGUGAAACCAAUAAUUUACGGGCAACAGGCUUAGAUCAUAAAUGUGAUGGGCUUUGUGUGUUUUUCAAUGGUCAUAGCCUUAAGGUGAAGAAGUGUGGUGUUAGAAUAGUGUAUGAGAAAGAUUUGGAAGAAAUAGAAGAGUUGCAGUGCCAUAUCACUCAAUCUUCACCAGAUUUUGAACACAUCCACCAACACUCUGCUCAAAACGAUGGAUCAGUAGGUAGCACUUCUGACAUAAAACAAAAACGAAAUAUCUCCGAGGAAGCGGAGGAAGAGGGGCUGCAACCAAAAUUGAUGCAAAAAUUUUUCAAAUUUAUAAUGGGCCAAUCAGGGAAGAAGCAUUAACUGUGGUAAACUACUUAACCAAUCUUUUAUUUAAAGUGAUCAAUCUAGACUUAUUUACGAUCCUUCUUACAUACCAAAAACUUAUAAAUCUUUUACUUAUAUUCAACAGGAGCUCAUAUCAUAGUUUAUAUAUAUCAUUUAAAAUUUUAGUGGCUUAAUUCAUUCCGUUUUACAUAACUGAAAUGUGAAAAUUUUUAUUGGUUUCAAUUUUUAUUAAAUUUUAUUUUCAUUAUAUAUACACUUAUAUCUAUAUUUUAUUUGUAGGUUGAAAUAAAUAUAAUCAACUUGACAUAGAAAUGUAGAGAAAAAUGGAUAGCUUCCGUGACAAAACAGGUAACAAUAAGGUGAAAUCCUUUAAUAAAGAUCAGAUUAUAAUUUGGACCGAGUUAAAAACUAUUUUUUUUAUUUGAGACUAACUUAUGUGUUCAAUUUAAUCACUCAAAAUUGUUUUUAUAUAUUUAGAAGAUUAAAAAUAAGUCCUUUACUAAUACUUGAAUAGGUUUAAUUACUCCUAAUAAAAAUAAGUCCAAAUUAUGUGUCAUUGUUUGGUUCAUUAACUUGUAAAUUAUGCAUUGUUCGCGAACCAAACAUAAAUCAACAUAUUAAUUCAAUUUUUUAGGAUUAGGUAAUUUAACAUUGGGUGUGAUUGUUAGAUAUAAGUAUCUCUUUAAUAUGGGUAUAUUCAAAAAAAAAUUUAAAAACUGUUUUUUUUCACGUAAUUAAAAAGUUAUUAAAGGAUCAUAUCUUAAUUAAUACCCAUAUACGAAUGUGUAUUAGAUAUAAGUAUUGGAUACGAGUACUUUAAAAAAUAAAUUGAUGCAACAUUUCUUUUAAAUAUUGAAUGUUUUAGUAUAUUUUGAAGCUCAUUUUUGCUUUGCUCAUUGAUAUUAGGGAAUCAGGCAAGAUGCUCAACUUGAGUGUCGAUGCCUUCUCAAAAAUGAAAAAUUUGAGAUUGCUCAAAGUGCUUUGCCUAUUAAAUUGUGAUGAUCUCAAAUUUCUUUCUAAUGAGCUACGGCUUUUAGAUUGGAAAGGAUGCCCUUUAAGAUCAUUACCUUCAAGCUUCCAACCGGACAACCUUGUUGCACUUCUUUUACCAUAUAGUCGCAUUCAACAACUAUAGAAGGGGAACAGAGUAAGAAUUAACUCAUGUCAUCCUUGUAUUUUAGCUUAUUUUAAUAUAAAUGAUUAAACUUUGCUUAAGGUAAAAAAACAAAAAUAAGCAUUAUUAUUAUUAUGUUUUCUCAUUUGUUUCUAAUUUAUUAUGAUCUUCAACAGCCCUUGUGUAAGUUGAAAAUGAUAAGCCUUGGAGGGUCCCAAAACCUGAUCAAGACACGAAACUUCACAACGGCAUCAAAUCUUGAAGUUUUAGUGUUGAAAGGUUGUACCAAAUUAGUGGAUAUUCAUCCAUCAAUCGCAGUACUUAAAAGCCUUAAAGUUUUGAAUUUAAGAGAUUGCAAAAGUCUUAGGACUCUUCCAACCAAAAUUGGAAUGGAAUCUCUUGAAGCAUUAAUUCUUUGGGGUUGCUCAAGUCUUGUAAGGUUUUCAGAGAUUGAUAGGAAAAUGGAACGUCUAAAAACUCUUGAUCUUUCAGGUUGUUAUAGAGUGGAAACUUUAUUGGAGAAUUUACAGCAAGCAAAGUUUUUGGAAGAGCUCGACUUGAGAGAAACAGCCAUAACAGAACUACCAUCCUUCAUUUUUCAAUUUAAAAAUCUUAAAGUUCUGUCUUUCAAUGAGUGCAAGGGACCAUCAUAUAAGUUACUACCAAAUUUGCCUUCUUUUUUCAAGGUAAUCCAAGGAAGAAGGACAAAUCCCAUGGCUCGGAUGUUGCCUUUGUUGUCAGGUUUGAGUUCUUUAAGAGUGCUAAGAGUGCUAAAACUAAAGGACUGCAAUCUUUGUGAAGGAGAUAUUCCACCAUAUAUUUUUGGUCUAUCCUUUUUGGAAUAACUUAAUGUUAGUGGUAACAAUUUCAUCAGCAUACCAGCAUCUCUUACUCGACUCUCCAAGCUUGCAAAUCUUAUAUUGUCAAAUUGCAAUAUGUGCACUUUUGGUGAAGCAGAUAUUCAUUAUGAUAUUUCUGGUCUAUCCUCUUUGAGUUAUCUUGAUUUUAGUGGUAACAAUUUAAUCAGCAUACUUGCAUCUUUUACUCGACUCUCAAAACUUCAUGUUCUUGACUUGUCAAAUUGCAACGUGUGCACUCUUGGUGAAGCACUCUUUGAUAUGUCUUGAUCUUAGUGGUAAGAAUUUCAUCACCAUUCUUUUGGAUCUUAUUGAAAAAUAGAAUGUCGGUAAUGACAAUAUAUCAUAAAGAAAAAAGAGAAAUAAAAAUAAAUAACAUAUAGAUUUUACGUGGAAAUCUUUUUUGUGAAAAAAACCACGGGUAAAUGAGAAGAAAAUUCAUUAUGUCGAAUUCGAAUAAUUACAAGAGAAGUAGACUAUGUCUAUUUAUAGGCUUGUAAAACCAUCUUCUAGUAAGAUUGAAACAUCUUAUUUUAAUUAAUUUCAAAUAGAUGGAGUUUAAUAAGGUUUAAAAAACCUUAUUCUAAAAAUAAAAUAAAUGAAGAAUAAUUCUAUAGGGAUUUUACUUUUUAUUUUAUUUUAGCACUAUAUUUGAUUUAAAUAAGGAUUCAGUCACUUAAUUCUAACAAUUUCUAUCUUGACACGAAUUCUUAAUGAACAAGUUCUUCAUCGUGAACUCUUAACGAAUAAGUUCUACACCUCUUCCAUAAAACCCCUUAAGGGUUUAAUUUCAACAAUGAACAUCAACUAAGUCUAAGCAAUGCUCAAACUUGGUUAUAGGAAGUGACUUAGUCAUUAUAUCUAUAGGAUUUUCAUGAGUACUAAUUUUGCUCACAACAAUAUCGCCACGAGUAAUAAUAUCACGAACAAAAUGAUACUGAACAUCAAUUUGUUUUGUUCUCUCAUGAAACAUUUGAUAUUUUGUAAGGAAGAUGGUACUCUGACUAUCACAAAAUACUGUAUUUAUUUGAAAGUUUUAAUUGAGUUCACUUAAGAAUCCCUUUAACCAAAUAGCUUAUUUACAAGCUUUAGUAAUCGCCAUAUACUUAACUUCAGUGGUAGACAAAGCGACUACAGUUUGUAAAGUGGCUUUCUAACUGAUUGCAAAACCCCCGAUUGUAAAGAAAUAACCUGUGAGAGAUCUUCUUAUAUCGAGGACUUCAGCAAAAUCAGCAUAAAAAAACCCAAUGACUCUAUCUCUAGUUCUUCCAAACUGUAAGCAAACAUCAGUAGUACCUUGCAAGUAUCUUAAAACCUACUGAACUGCUUUCCAAUGUUAUUUACCAGGAUUCAACAUGUAUCUGCUAACUGCACUGACUGCAUAUGAUAAAUCUGGACGUGAAUAAACCAUAGCAUACAUGAGAGAUCUCACUGCACUAGACUAUGGAACAUGUGACAUGUACUCAAUCUUAUCAUCUAAUUGUGGAGAUAAAGCCAAUUAAAGUUUGAAAUGGGCUACUAAAUGAGUACUAACAAGCUUAGCAUUCUACAUAUUGAAUCUGCAAAGAAUUAAUGUACCCCUUCUAACUUAGGUAUAAUUUACUUGCUUUUCUAUUUCUAAGAAUCUCUAUACUAAGUAUCUUAUUUGCUGGUAUCAAAUCUUUCAUCUCAAAUUCUUCACUUAGUUGGACUUUAACCUUUCUUAUCUCUCAUUUAUCUUUCGCUGCUAUCAACAUGUUAUCAACAUAAAGGAGUAGAUACACAAAAAGAGUAUCACAGUUUUUCUUAAAGUAAACACAACUUUUAAAACCAUGAGAAGUUAUAAAAGAAUCAAACCUCUUAUACCACUGUAUUGGUGACUGUUUCAAACCGUAAAGGGACUUUUUUAGCAAGCAAACAUAGUUUUCUUUUUCUAAGACUGUAAAACCCUCUGGUUGUUACAUGUAAAUAUCCUCCUCAAGUUCUUUAUGCAAAAAUUCAGUUUUUUCAUCUAACUGCUUAAGUUUUAAAUCAUGCAUUACCACAAUACCAAGCAAAGCUCGAAUCGAACUAUGCUUCACAACUGGAGAGAACACAUCUGUGAAGUCCACUUUUGGAAUUUGACUGUAACCCUUUGCAACAAGUCUUGCUUUAUAUCUUGGUUAUUCAACUCUUGGAGUCCCCUCUUUCUUCUUAAACACCCAUUUACAACGAACAACUUUUUUACCUUUAGGAAGUUUUAUAAGAUCUCAUGUUUUAUUUUUGUGUAGUGAUUUAAUCUCCUCUUACAUAGCAAACAUCCAAUUUUCUAAGUCUUCACAACAAACCGCCUCAAAAUAAUUAGAUAGUUCUUGAUUUUCAUCUAUAUCUUCAGCCUUAUUUAAAGCAUAAAUAAUUAGAUUAGCUUUCCUGUCUAUUUUUCAAUCAUGGUUUUUCAAGACUUAAAUGCGAAAAACACAUUGCUUUUUUGCUUCAAGAAGAACGCCCACACUUUUCUAGAAAAAUCAUAAAUAAAGGUUAGUAUAUAAUUAGCUCCACCUCUCAAAGACACUCUAGAUGGCCCCCACAGAUCAGAAUGAAUAUACUCUAACGUUCCCUUCGUGUUAUGAAUUCCUCUGGUGAAUCAACUCUCUUUUGAUUCCCAAAAAUGCAAUGCUCGUAGAACUUCAGUUUGCAAAUUUCUUACCCAUCAAAAAGUAAUCUUUUGUUCAAUUCUUCCAUGCCAUUCUCACUUAUAUGCCUUAGGCGUAUAUGCCAAAAUUUAGUAAUAUCAUCAUUAGUCAAGGAAGAGGAUGCGACAGCUGGAUCACCAGUAACUGUAGAACCCUACAAAACAUAUAACUUGACAGUCUUUCUCUGCCCUUUCAUCACAAUGAGGGAACCUUUGGAAAUAUUAAAAACCCCACUUUCAGUUGUGUAUUUGUACCCUUUUGAAUUAAGAAGACUUAACGAAAUUAAAUUUCUCUUCAAUUCUGGAACAUGUCGUACGUCACUAAGUGUUCUGACAACUCCGUCAAACAUCUUAACUUUAAUUGUUCCAACAUCUGUAAUUCUAUAUGAAGAAUUAUUUCCCAUCAAUACAACACCUUCAGACACUUUUUCGUAAGCUGUAAACCAAUCUCAACUAGAACUCAAGUAAAGAAAGCUGCCCGAAUCAAGGAUCCAUUCCUCGCUCACUUUAGAAUUGUUGACAGAAGCAAAAAGAAGUUCACCAUCGUUGUAGUCUUCUACAAUAUCAACGUUACCAAUUUUUUUUUAUUUUUUCCAUUUUGAUUCGCAAUCUUCCUUUUGAUCUUGUUCUAUAGCUUAUAACACUCAGAUUUAAUGUGUCCUUUCUUCUUACAGAAGUUACAAGUUUUACCUUUAUUUGAAGACUUCGAUCUACCCUUUGAUUUACCAUGAAGAUUUCGUUCCUGUGUCCUUCCACGAUCAUCAUUAACAUUCUGAUAUUGUCUUCCACAAACAAUAAGACCCUCUCUCUGAAUUCAGUUUUAACCAUAAAAUGCUUUAUCUUAUAAUACGAGGUUAAAGAAUCAUAAAUCUCAUCAAGUGUGAAAGACUCGCGACUAUAUAAAAUCGUAUCUCUAAAGGUUGAAUAAGAUGGGGGCAACGAAUAAAUUAGAAUUAACCCUAGUUCUUUCUUGUCAUAUUGAACCUUAAUGGCCUCUAAGUUUAAGAGAAUUUCUUUAAACAAUAUUAAGAGUUCGUGCACAGAUGCACCUUCCUCCAAACGAUGAGCAUAAAGAUGCUACUUCAUAUGCAACUUGCUAGUUACAGUUUUCGACAUAUAUAUUUGUUUCAACCUCUUCCAUAAUCCAGUAGCGAUCUUCUCUUUCAUCAUAUCUUGCAAAUUUUUUGUUAGAAAAAUGUAAAUGUAAUUGUGUUAACGCCUUUCGAUCCUUAUGCUUCUUCUUUUGCUCCGUCAAUGUUGAAGGCAUCUUAUCUACCCCUAGUAGGGCUUCCUCUAAGUCUAUUUAUGCAAGAAUUGCCUACAUCUUUAUUUGCCACAACGCAAAUCUGAUGUUGCGAUCCAACAAUGAAAUUUCAUACUUUAAAGACAUUAUUAUCGUGAUUGAGAUGAAAACUUAAAAGCUCAGAUACCAAUUUGAAAAAUAGAUUGUCGAUAAUGACAAUAUAUCUCAAAGAAAAAAGAGAAAUAAAAAUAAAUAACACACAGAUUUUACGUGAAAAUCCUUUCAGGAAAAAAAACCACAGGCAGAGAAGAAGAAAAUUCACUAUGUCGAAUUCAAUAAUUACAAGAGGAGUAGAUUAUGUCUAUUUAUAAGCUUGUAAAACCAUCUUCUAGUAAGAUUGAAACACCUUAUUCUAAUCAAUUUCAAAUAGAUAGAGUUUAAUAAGGUUUAAAAAACUUAUUCUAAAAAUAAAAUAAAUGAAGUAUAAUUCUAUAGGGAUUUUACUUUUAUUUUAUUUUACCACUAUAUUUGAUUUAAAUAAUGAUUCGGGUCACUUAAUUCUAACACUUACUCAACUUUCCAGGCUCAAAUUGCUUAAAUUGUCAGGUUGCAAGAUGCUUAAAUCGUUGCCUGAGCUACUAAGAAGUAUAACAGUUGUGAGUAUAGAUAGUUGUUCUUCACUUGAAGUAGUUGCAAGUCCAUCAAUAGUUUGCAAUUUAAUGCAUUCAGGUGCCGUUAAAGCCAUUAACUGCUUCAAAUUGGCUGAGAAUAUCAAUGCAUUAACACUGCUGAAAAACAUCUUAAGGUUGAUUAUCUCUUUUUUCUCCCUUACAAAAUCUCAUACAUUUUACCAAACGACUUGUGUUCUAUUUUGCAAGCAUUGGCAAAUUCAAAAGAAAAGUUUGAUAUUAUGAUGCCCGGAAGUGAAAUCCCAGAAUGGUUUAGCCAACAAAAAAGUGACUCUUCAAUUAAGAUACCCCUACCUAUCAACCUUCGGAAAGAUAGUCAAUGGAUUGGAGUUGCUUGUUGCUGCAUUUUUGUCAAUAAUGAUCCUUCAAUGGAUGACGAGAUUUUACGUUGUGUAGCAUUUACCUGUUGUAGAAAUUCUUGAAAACCUUCUAUGAAAGAUAAGUAGAGAGACCAACAUGCUAAGAAAGCACAAGUGUCUGGUUGUCCCUAAUGAAAAUUGACAGGUUUCGGCCGUCAAAACAAAUAUGCACCCUUAAAUCCUGACCUCCGGCUGAAAUGUUAACAUCGUAGUUGCUUAAAGAAACUUGCUUGGUUGAUUGGAUCCUGUUUAUGUUUAACCCAAUAUGGUUGUCAUCCAUAUCUUGCUCGUUGCUCUUUCUGACAUCAAAUUCCACCGCCACCACACUGGCUUGAUUGAGAAGAACCAUUUGUGUUCUCAUUUACCAUCCCCAGCCACUGUCCUUGGCUGUUGUCCAGUAGGCUGGAGUUGUUUAUUAAAAAGGCAACACCUUCGCCACCACAAGAGGUUUGAUUGAGGCUAUUGAGGACGAACUCACAUGGAAAGAAGCAAUAGUGGUGUGGUUGCCUUUCUAAAGCUGAAAUGGUUUCUUAUACAGAGCUCGUCUAGACAAAUUUUCCAUGGAACCUCCAUAACAUCUCCAGUAGCUUGGAUGGUUCCAAGAACUAUGUAAGAAUUCCUACUCAAGAUAAGUUGGCUUUAACCAUAUUUCUGGAAAGUUGAAAAUUUGAACUGAAAAGGCCUUCUAUUAUAUAUCAAAAAAUUUAAAAUUUUUUAUUCAUAUAACAUAGUUUUUAAAACAUUUAAAAUUUUAGUCACUCAUUUUUACAAAAUGUGUACGUUUUAAUUGGGUUUACAUUUUUUUUAAUUUUAUUUUCAUUAUAUGUAUUCACUUACAUCUAUAUUUUAUUGUAGGUUGAAGUAAAUUUAAUUAAAUUAAUACCGAAAUGUGGAAUAAAAUGAAUAUAUUUUGUGACGAAACAGGUAAUAAUAAAGUGAAUCCUUUAAUAAGGAUUGAUCAUAAUUUCAGCUGUGAAAUGGUAAAAUUAACAUAUUUUAAUCUCAUUCUUAAUGCGUUUUUGGAUGAAUAUUUAUGCAAAUUGGUGAAUUUGAUGCUCCUAAUCCUUUGAAUUAAUGUUUUUAUAUUUAGGUGAACAUUAGGGAGCAGAAGAAGCGAAAAACGAGUGAAAAUCAGAGAAAAAGAGUAAAUUUCAGGAGCCACACGGGUUGGGCACACGCCCUUAUGAGCCACACUGGCUGGACACACGCCUAUGUGCCAGCCCGUGUCGAUUUCGCACUUUGCUUCCCAAACACACGGAAAAACAUAAUUUUUAGGCUUUCUAAACAUUCUAAAGUCUAUAAAUACCAAAUAGAAGAAGAAAUAGGGGAGCCAUUAGAGAAGGUCAAAGAAAACCCUCAAGGAACACCAUUGGAGUUAAUUCCCUAGAUACCUAGGGAGGAUGAAACCUAUGACGAAUUCUAUUAUCUAAUAUCUAAUUUACAUGAUAAAUACUUUAUUCUUAUUUUCAAUUAUGCGUGUUUAUUUCUUAUUUUAAUAUUUUCGGGAUAUUAAUUCAUGUUUAAUGUGCUUAAUUCAAUGGAGCAAAAGUCCCUGUGUAAGAGUAAAUUUAGCAUAACUGAGUGGACUUGCAUGCAAUCCUAUAAAUAGGACGACAGAAAUCUACCUGAUUAGAGUCAAAUCUAAUGGGGGAAUCCAUAGAUCGAGUUACUGUGACAAUAGGAGUUUUAAUUAGAAAGAGAUUUCAAUUAAUUAACCUCAAGUCCGUUGUUCUUACUCUCGAAAUAGAUAUUAACAUAAUUUAAGAAUUUCUACGAAUCAAGACACCAAGUGAAUAAAUCGUUUAAAUCAAAUUAAUAAAAUUAAUAAUACUAGAAGGAAUCUAGAUAGAUUGCGCAUUUUUACUUGUAAGGUUAUUAUAUAAUUUAUUAUAUAAUUAUGUUAUUAUACUAUUUUAAAUAGGGUUUUUGAAUUUUUUUUUGUAAAAUAUAAAUUUACAUAGUAAUUUAAUUGUAAUGUAAAUAAAUCCUUUUAAAUAAGGUAUAAUGAUAAAAAAAAUUUUCUUAUUGUUUAUAAAAUUUUAUUUUGAGUCAAAUUAUAAAUUUUUUUAAUGCAAAAUGCUGAUUAAACCAUUGACGUGAUAUGAAUAGUGAACUAUUAAACUUUUCAAGGGUAGUCUUAAUUGGAUCAUCUUUCCACAAUAGCCUUAUUUAAGUUUAUUAUGUUUUCUCAUUUGCUUCUCAUUUAUGAUGGUCUUCAACAGCUCUUGUAUAAGGUGAAAUGCGGCUGAGAUGGGAUUGCAUGUGGGAUUCUCGAGGGUGGAGAUCGAAGGAGACUCCUUAUCUGUGAUUCGGAAGCUGCAAACAAAGGGAGUUGAAAGGUCAGUGAUAGGAGCCUAUAUCUCAAAUACAGGGGUAUCAAAUCUGUGUCUUUAAACAUGUGCCAAAACAAGCAAACGGAGUUGCACAUCUAUUGGGUACAGAGGGAUUAAAGAGAGAUGAAGAAACUUAUCUUGUUGGCGCGGUUCCUUCAUACGCGAAAGUGGCAGCGGAAGAGGACCGUCAACAGUUGGGCUCACUUUGUCCCGCAGGUUGAAGAUCCACUGCUUAGAAAGAAGAUAAAAUGGGAUUUUACUGUGGGCAAACAGAUCGGAGAAUAGAUGGACUACUGGGUUUCUAAGUUUCGACGGAAGAUUGGUGUUUUGAAGUGAUGAAAUGCAGAGUUUAGCCAGACCUGAAGGGUUUCUUCCAGUUGCAUCGGAAAGAUCUAGAGCAGACAUUUUGGUGGUUAUCAACGAAACAAAGAAGGCAUCUGAAGGGUUUCGCUUUCUCAGAUGUUUAGGGAAAAGGAAAGUCUGCCUGGGUGGUUGGAUUAUCCUACUUUAUAAUGUCUGUGCUCUAAAUGAUUUGGAAUUUGUUUUAUUGAUAUAACUGCUACAGAUUGACUGAGAACAUCAAUCUAUUCACAUUGCUGAUAAAACAUCUUAUGGUCAACUAAAUCCCAGAAUGGUUUAGCGAACAAGGAUGAUUCUUCAAUCAGGAUAACUUCACCUCUCACUAUUCAGAUAGAUAAUGAAUGGAUUGGAGUUGCUUCACGUCGCAUUUUUGACAUUGAUGAUGCUUCCAAGGAUAUGGAGGCUAUCCUUUUUACAGCCAAUAUCCAUUGUAGAAAUGUUGGAGAAGCUGGUUGUAAUAUGCUUGAGCUGUCUUUCACAACCCAAUUGGUCACAGUCUUAAAGGUGAAGAAAUGUGGUGGUAGAAUAGUGUAUAAGAAAGAUUUGGAAGAAAUAAAAGAGUUGCAAUGCCAUAGCACUCAAUCUUCUCCAAAUUUUGAACAUAUCCCCCACCACUCUUCUCACAACGAUGGAUCAGUAGGUAGCACUUCCCUUAUAAAACCCGAACGUAAUAAGGAGAGGGAGGAAGAAGGGCUACAACCAAAACGGAUGCAAAAAUUCUUCAAUUUUAUAAUUGCCGAUCGAAGAACAAGCAUUAAUUGUGAUAAACUGCUUCACUAACUUUGUCCUGUUAAUUCCUUUUCAGACAUUUUUAGCUAUGUUAUUUACAAUUUUUUAUUUGAUUUAAAGUAUUCAUUCCUUUUCACAUAAUUGGAAACUUAGUAUAUAUAAACUGAAAAACGACAUGGGACAUAAGGUAUUUCCAAUUUUCUACAAUGUGGAUCCAUCCGAUUUAAGAAAACAGAAAGAGAAAGUUGAGGAGGUGUAAUAGCCCGAUUUUAGGCCUAGUCGGAACAGUGGUUUCGGGACCACAAAUCCGACGAAAAAAAAAAUGUAAUGGCUUGAAUUUUCAGAGGUGUCGGAACGGUGAUUCGAGAUCACUAAAUUCGACAAAUGGGUAGAAAAUAUUAUUAAUUUAGUAAGUAUAAGUUAAAUGUGAAGUUAGGAAAAUUUUUGAAAUAGUGAAUAGUGCACUAGAAAUAAAUAUUAAAAUAAUUAGAAUCAAAAUGAGGUAUCAAGACCUCGGGGAUUUUAAACCGAGCCAUAAAUAUUUUUAUAAAUAUUUAUGGAGUGUUAAAAAGUUAGUAUUAAAGUUUCGUUAAGAAAUUUUAAAGUUCCGAUAAUUAAUUGAACAAAAAGGACUAAAUUGUAACAAAUGCAAAAUUAUAGGAAAUAAUUAAAUAGCUUAAAUGAUAAAAGGAAGAGGGCUUAAAAGGUAAAUAGACCCAAGGCCUAUUUGGGCUGGACGGCAGGGGCAUGAAAUCAGCAGAAAGUAAAGAGAAUUAAGGGUAAAAUUGGAAUAUUGCAAAAUUUGCUUAAUAAAGUUAGGACCAAAGUGGAAUUAUCUAGAUUUCUCUUCAUUUUUUUCUGAAUUCUCAUCAGCUAAAACACCAUGGAAGGGCUUCUUCAAGCUGGUUCUUCAUAUUUUUAUUACAAGUAAGUUCAAUUCUUGACUAUUUCUUGAAAUUUUUGUAUUUUUAUGACUUUUACAACUAGGCCCACUUGUUAAAUUCAUUAGUUUUUGAUUUUAUGAAAGAAGUUGAAAGUUGAUAUGAAUAUGUGCUGGAAGUAUAUGAUGAUUUAUCAUGAAAUUAGAGCUUUAAAUUGUUCAUAUGCUGAUUUUAUUGAAAGAAUUGAAUAGAAAGUGAAUGUUUGGGACCUAAUAGUAAAAGAGUUUGAAGAUAGAGUUAUAUGUGGAAAUUCUGAAUUUCAAUAGUUGUGUAACAACUUAUAAUGCCUAGUAAAGUAAUAAUAGAGAAAAUUAGAUUAAUUGAGGGGUUAAUUGAGAAAGGACCGAAUUGUAUAAACUGUGAAAUUUGGGGCAAAAUGGAAAUCGNNNNNNNNNNNNNNNNNNNNNNNNNNNNNNNNNNNNNNNNNNNNNNNNNNNNNNNNNNNNNNNNNNNNNNNNNNNNNNNNNNNNNNNNNNNNNNNNNNNNNNNNNNNNNNNNNNNNNNNNNNNNNNNNNNNNNNNNNNNNNNNNNNNNNNNNNNNNNNNNNNNNNNNNNNNNNNNNNNNNNNNNNNNNNNNNNNNNNNNNNNNNNNNNNNNNNNNNNNNNNNNNNNNNNNNNNNNNNNNNNNNNNNNNNNNNNNNNNNNNNNNNNNNNNNNNNNNNNNNNNNNNNNNNNNNNNNNNNNNNNNNNNNNNNNNNNNNNNNNNNNNNNNNNNNNNNNNNNNNNNNNNNNNNNNNNNNNNNNNNNNNNNNNNNNNNNNNNNNNNNNNNNNNNNNNNNNNNNNNNNNNNNNNNNNNNNNNNNNNNNNNNNNNNNNNNNNNNNNNNNNNNNNNNNNNNNNNNNNNNNNNNNNNNNNNNNNNNNNNNNNNNNNNNNNNNNNNNNNNNNNNNNNNNNNNNNNNNNNNNNNNNNNNNNNNNNNNNNNNNNNNNNNNNNNNNNNNNNNNNNNNNNNNNNNNNNNNNNNNNNNNNNNNNNNNNNNNNNNNNNNNNNNNNNNNNNNNNNNNNNNNNNNNNNNNNNNNNNNNNNNNNNNNNNNNNNNNNNNNNNNNNNNNNNNNNNNNNNNNNNNNNNNNNNNNNNNNNNNNNNNNNNNNNNNNNNNNNNNNNNNNNNNNNNNNNNNNNNNNNNNNNNNNNNNNNNNNNNNNNNNNNNNNNNNNNNNNNNNNNNNNNNNNNNNNNNNNNNNNNNNNNNNNNNNNNNNNNNNNNNNNNNNNNNNNNNNNNNNNNNNNNNNNNNNNNNNNNNNNNNNNNNNNNNNNNNNNNNNNNNNNNNNNNNNNNNNNNNNNNNNNNNNNNNNNNNNNNNNNNNNNNNNNNNNNNNNNNNNNNNNNNNNNNNNNNNNNNNNNNNNNNNNNNNNNNNNNNNNNNNNNNNNNNNNNNNNNNNNNNNNNNNNNNNNNNNNNNNNNNNNNNNNNNNNNNNNNNNNNNNNNNNNNNNNNNNNNNNNNNNNNNNNNNNNNNNNNNNNNNNNNNNNNNNNNNNNNNNNNNNNNNNNNNNNNNNNNNNNNNNNNNNNNNNNNNNNNNNNNNNNNNNNNNNNNNNNNNNNNNNNNNNNNNNNNNNNNNNNNNNNNNNNNNNNNNNNNNNNNNNNNNNNNNNNNNNNNNNNNNNNNNNNNNNNNNNNNNNNNNNNNNNNNNNNNNNNNNNNNNNNNNNNNNNNNNNNNNNNNNNNNNNNNNNNNNNNNNNNNNNNNNNNNNNNNNNNNNNNNNNNNNNNNNNNNNNNNNNNNNNNNNNNNNNNNNNNNNNNNNNNNNNNAUAUGAAUGAUUUGUGUAUAAUUGGUCAUAUGUUUGAUUAUAAUUGAUAGAUGAUGAAAUAGAAAUGAUGCUUAAAUUUGUGCAUUAUUGGACAUGGUUUAAGCUCAUGUGUGAAAAUAAAGUUUCAUAGCAUGUGUGUAUGGUAUAUUCGGUAUAUGAUUUGGCAUGAAAUAAUGUCAUGAAUGGUUUAUCAUGUGAUUAGUUCCAAAAAGAGUUAUGUUUCAAUACACUAGCUUGCAACUAUGGUUGAAUGAUAUGUUUAUAUCUUGUGUAAUGUGCAUAGGAAACAAGUGUGGAAGAUAAUGAAAUAGUAAGUUCAUAUGGCUGAAAUUUAAUGAUUAAAUGUUAAUUUCAUGAAUUAUAUAAUGUAUGAUGAAAUGUAUUUAUUGUUGAAAUGAGAAUAAAAUAAAAAUGUGAAAAGUUAUAGAAACAUGUUAAUUAUUUUGAAAGUUUUUAUUUAGAUGAAAUUUUAUAACUCGGUUAAAUACGUUUACAAGUGUAUGUGUUUUGGUAAUGCCUCGUACCUUAUUCCGGUGUUGGAUACGGGUAAGGGGUGUUACAGGAGGCCUUUGCCAAACACGAAGAGAGAUACAAGGAAGAUAGAGACAAGAUCCAAAGGUGGCGAAACGCUUUGAUUCAAGUGGCUAACAUUAAGGGAUGGCAUUUAAAUAACAGGUAAUUCUUUCUUUUCUUCUCUACUUUCUAGUUUAUUUGAAAAGUGUCAUAUUUCAAUAAAAGAGCAAAUUUUGUAUUCUGGUUCCGCAACAGAUCUUGCUUUCUUAUUCUUGGUUUUUGUUUGCUUCCAUUAUGAUUCAAUGAGAUACAAAAUGCAUUUGAAAGAUAUCAACAAAAUUUUAUUCAAAAAAAUUAAAAUUUCUUUCUUCACAGGCACGAAUCAGAAUUUAUUAGAGACAUUGUUAUGAAGAUAUCAGCAAAACUAUGUCAAACAUAUCCAGUUACUCAUAGCGACUUAGUUGGAAUUAGUGAACGCUUGGAGGAUUUGUAUUUGAAAAUAAAUAUUGGGGAAAUGAUGUCCGCAUUAUAGGAAUUUGCGGAAUGGGUGGCAUCUGUAAAACGACACUCGCAAGAGUUGCUGACACUCAAAUGUCACCUCAUUUUGACGGUAAAAGCUUUAUUGCUGAAAUUCGAGAAGUUUCAGACAAAUGAGGACUAGUUUUCUUUACAAAAACAACUUCUUUCACAGAUCUUUCAUGAUGAAUGCUUCAACUUUUUCAAUGUUCACGAAGGGAAUGCCAUAAUUAACCAUAGCUUGUCUCACAAAAAGGUUCUUGUUGUUCUUGAUAAUGUUGAUAACAUACAACACUUAAAAUGCUUGGUUGGAAGGUGUGAUUGGUUCGGAUUAGGGAGUAGAAUCAUUGUAACAACAAGAGACGAACAUUUGCUUCGAUGUUGCUAAGUUGAUGAUGUGUAUAUGCCCACAACACUGAAUCCCAAAGAUGCACUUCAACUUUUCAAUUUGAAAGCUUUCCAUAGUGAUACAGUGUCGAAAGAUGAUUUCAUUGAACUUUCUAAACAUCUUGUAAAUUAUGCCGGUGGGCUCCCUCUAGCUCUUGAAGUUUUGGGUUCCUUUUUGUGCGGUAGAGAUGCUGCUCAAUGGAGAAGUGCGAUUGAAAGACUAAAAAGAGAUUCUAAAAAAGAAAUCCUCGAUAAACUUUGAAUCAGUUUUGAUGGAUUGGAAGAAAGAGGGAAGAAUAUAUUUCUAGAUAUAGCAUGCUUAUUCAAUGGGGAGAAGAAAGAUUUUGUAAUGAAAGUAUUGAAUGGUUGUGAGUUUUUUCCCGAUAUUGGAAUUGAUGUUCUCAUUAAGAAAUCUUUAAUAAAAGUCGAUGAUGGCAACCAAUAUUUGUGGAUGCAUAGCUUGUUGCAAGAAAUGAGAAGAAAAAAUGUUACAGAAAAAUGUGUUGAUGAACUUGAAAAACGUUCCAGAUUGUGAGAGGAAACGAAUGUCCAUCAUAUCCUAACAAAAAAUACUGUAAGCCAUUCAACAAAAUUUACAUACUAUUUCUUUUCCUUUUUAUAGAAUAUCUAAUCAAUAUAUAAUAUAAAUUCAAAGCUUAGUCUAAUUGGUAGAUAUGACGAUCUUAAAAAGUGAUAUUUGGUACUUUUGAGAUGAAUUAUGUUUGAUGUUUACAAAUAUUAAAAAGAAUUUGUAGAAAUAAAUAUUUAAUUUCAUUGCAUUAAAAUUUCAAUAGUUUUAUCUUACAGGAUGCACCAUUUAUUUUGUUUUUUUAAUUUUUGUUCUUGAAUUUUUUAGGCUACAGAAAUGAUUGAAGGCAUAAUCAUUGAUAAUAAAAGGUAAUACAUAUAACAUGAUAUCUUUGUGUACUGUAAAUAAUAAUUUUUUUAAACUCCAUAUUUCAAUGUUUAAUUAUGAAAUUUAGCUAGCAACAUAGUACUCUUUCAAAAGAAUCAAUAGAGAAAUAUGUAUUUUUUAAAUAUUAAUGGUAUAUAUUUAAUUAGAGGUGUUUAUGAGCUGGAUCAGGCCUAUGCAAGAUAUUUAGAUUAUUUUUCUAAACUAGGGCUUGAAUCGAAAAAUGGGCUUAUUUUUUACCCAAUCCCGACCCGAUUUAAGAAAAGUAAACUCAAGCCCAAUCUAGACCAUCCAUAUUUGAUUUUUUUUAGAUUAAUUUUAUUUAAAAUUAUUUUUAAAAUAUAUUAUAUUGAAUACACUAAAAAAGUUCAAAAUAAAUGUUUCUAACACAUUAAAAAGUAUUUAUAUUAAAAAAUACUACCGUAAAUAUAAUAAAUAUUUUAUUAAAUUAAAGAAUUAUGCAUUGUUUUGAUUUUGGAAGGUUGUACCAAAUUAGUGGAUGUUCAUCCAUCAAUCGGAGUGGUUAAGAGCCUUAAACUUUUGAAUUUAAGAGACUGCAAAAGUAUUGGGAGUCUUCCGACCAAAAUUGGAAAUUUUUUCGGGUUGCUCAAGUCUUGUAAGGUUUCCGGAGAUUGAUGGAAAAAUGGAACGUCUAAAAACUCUUGAUCUUUCAGGUUGUUAUAGAGUGGAAAAUUUAUCGGAGAAUUUGCAGCAAGCAAAGUUUUUUGAAGAGCUCGACUUGAGUGAAACAGCCAUAACAGAACCACCAUCCUUCAUUUUUCAAUUUAAAAAUCUUAAAGUUCUGUCUUUCAAUGGGCGCAAGGGACCAUCAUAUAAGUUACUACCAAAUUUGCCUUCUCUUUUCAAGGUAACCCAAGGAAGAAGGACGAAUCCCGUGCCUCGGAUGUUGCCUUUGUUGUCAGGUUUGAGUUCUUUAAGAGAGCUAAAACUAAGGGACUGCAAUCUUUGUGAAGGAGAUAUUACACGUGAUAUUUCUGGUCUAUCCUGUUUGGAUAAACUAGAUCUUAGUGGUAACAAUUUCAUCAGCGUACCUGCAUCUCUUACUCGACUCUCGAAGCUUGCAAAUCUUAUAUUGUCAAAUUGCAACAUGUGCACUCUUGGUGAAGCAGAUAUUCAUAGUGAUAUUUCUUGUCUAUCCUCUUUGAAAAGUCUUAAUCUUAGUGGUAACAAUUUCAUCACCAUUCCUUUGGCUCUUACUCAACAUUCCGGGCUGCAAUCGCUUGUAUUGUCAGAUUGCAAGAUGCUUAAAUUGUUGCCUGCGCUAUCAACAAAUAAACAAGUGCA